This 67116-nucleotide long non-coding RNA is filed under the name Ananas comosus (pineapple). RNAcentral describes it as "long non-coding RNA (ACOM_LNC013724)". The record is from RNAcentral. Lineage: Eukaryota; Viridiplantae; Streptophyta; Magnoliopsida; Poales; Bromeliaceae.
CCAAUCCAUUUCGGACUAUAAAUAAAACCCAAAGUCCACAAAUGAAAAUCCAAAAUCCAAAGUCCACAAAUAAAACACAAAACUCAAAGUCUACAAAUAAAACCUACGACCACAAAGUCGUUAAACUAAACUAUACCCAAAAUCAAACGACCGUAAGUCGUUAAACUAAUCCCAAAUCCAAACAAUCUCAAAGUCGCUAAACUAAACAACCAAAUCCAAACGACCAUAAAAUCGUUAAACUAAACCCAAAAUCAAACGAUCGUAAAGUCGUUAAACUAAACCCAAAAUCAAACGACCGCAAAGUCGCUAAACUAAUCAACCAAAUCCAAACGACCGUAAAGUCGUUAAACUAAACCCAAAUUCAAACGACUGCGAAGUCGUUAAACUAAACAAUCAAAUUCAAUUGACCAUCAAGUUGUUAAACUGAAUUCAAAUUCAAAUGACUAUUAAGUCGUUAAACUGAAUUCAAAUUCAAAUAACCAUCAAGUCGUUAAAUUGAACUUUCGACCGUCAAAUCGUUAAACUGAAUUCAAAUUCAAAUUGAUCCUCAAGUCGUCAAACUGAACAAAUGACCAUCAAGUCAUUAAACUGAAUAUUUGACCAUUAAGUCGGUAAACUGAACAUCUGACCGUCAAGUCAUUAAACUGAGUUCAAAUUCAAAUUGACCACCAAGUCGCUAAACUAAGCAAUCAAAUUAAGCUCCUUUUAACCGUCAAGUUGUUAAACUGAGCGAACUAAAUUCAAAUUCAAAUGACCAUCAAGUCGUUAAACUGAAUUCAAAUUCAAGCCGACCGCCAUGUCGUUAAACUGAGCAACUUAACUCAAAUCGACCGUCAUGUCCUUAAACUGAGCACCUCAAUUUCAAGCCGACCGCCAUGUUGUUGAUUUGAGCACCUCAACCUCAAGCCGACUGCCAAGUCGUUAAACUGAAUACCUCAACCUCAACUUACUUUAACUGACCGCCAGAUCGCUAAACUGAGCGCCUCAGCCUCAAGCCGACCGCCACGUCGUUAACUGAGCUACUCAAGUCAAGCCGACCGCCACGUCGCUAAACUGAGCUACUCAAAUCAAGCCAACCACAAUAACUCAAUUCAAAUCGACUAAAUGACUGCCAAAUCCAUAAACUAAGCAUUUCAUCAAUGUACAGUGGGGGUAUGCCCCUGCUUAAGCCAUGUACUUGAAAAUUAUAUCAAUUCAAAUUCAUCUCUAUACUACGGUCUCUUUCUAUCAUCGGCAUUAAAUUUGGUCUCUUAAUCAAGGGUUCCUUAACAUUAAAAGUAUGAGGUAAUUAAUAGCUGAUUCUUGAGUCUGUUGGAAGUCAUGAACCUAUAAUCUUGAUUUCAAAAUAAAAUUUAAACAAAUUUAAUCUGUGCCAUGAAUGACCACUCGCUGGAGAAAUACCUACGGCUGGGCCGGUUCGUUCGCGACAGACACAAGUGAUGUGAGAUUCAUCUUACUAUGCUUAGUUGACCUUGUGGGAAGUCCCACUCAACGAUCGUCAAUUAGAGAACCACACUACCUUACUUGAGGCCUAUCUUACACUUUUGGCUGGUAAUUGUCUUUGAUACCAACGGUUAUACCCCACUUCCCAUGAGGGUCACCCAUCUAGGAACUACUCUAACUCUUGUAUAGUUAACCAUCUGAAUCCCAUGGGCCUAACAACUGCCUAAAAUACCAUAGUCAGGCUAAGAGGCUUAGUACUAUUAUAGCUGUAUAUGACUAUUCCAAAUAUUAAGAUUAUUACACCAGAGAAUCUGGAUUAUAACCGUAUCCAACGAUAUCUUAAAUGCCAAAAUUAGAGCUAUAAUAAGAAAGUAACAGUCCAUGACGAUUCGAUUUGGUAAAUUUUUUGAAUUGCAAUCUGAUUCAACGAACAAACCUAAUCUAUUUACUAUUAAGUCCAACAUUUUUUUUGAAAUUAUAAGUCUGGCUCAUAGCUAAAGCAAAAAAGAAUUAGUCCAAGAAGCUUAUUAGGCCGAAUCAAAAGCUAAAUAAAAUCUAAACAUUUCACACUAUGGUAUAAAAGCUCAAUUGGGAUAGAGUUCCUUUUCUAUACAUGCACAGCAUCAGAAUACGAAGCACCUACCAAUGUUAUAUUAGUAACCAAAACCCAGAAUUAUUUUUUGCAUUUCUAUAGAACACUUGAAUGUUUACAAAAUGUGAAGUUUUCAAAUUACACUAAAAGCAACUAUAACAAGUACGCCACUAUAAAAAUUUAAACCUUUUGUGACGAACACAUGCAGUUUGUCGUUAUAAAAUGAAAAUUCGUCGCUAUUGCUCUUUAGCUUAAAAAUUAUCUUCGUCGCUGCUUCGUCGCUAUCUCCCCAUCGCUAAAACUGUUUAGUAAUAGAGUAAAGUAGUUAGUCGCUAUUGGCUGCUACAUUUAGCAACGGCAAAAUAAAUGGUUGCUAUUUGCCUAAUUCUUUGUUGCUAUUGCUAAAUAUUCAUCUCGAUAAUAUUUUUUGUUGCUAUAUAUAACCUAAUUGCAACAACAUCUUUUUGUUGCAGCAAGCCAUUAUUUUUUAAUAAUUUUAUUUUAUUUUUUUAUGAUAGAAUAGUGGCGAGAAUAGUUUGUCGCAAAUUCAAUAACAAGUCAAUUAAUUCAACAAAUAGUUUGCGACCAAUAAUAUGGUCACAAAUUUAUCUGUCAAAAUAUACUGCCAAUUAAAUAUUCGUUGUUUUAGUAAUCAAUCCAAUAACAAUAUCCAUCUACUAUUUAUAUGACAAUUUCUCACAUUUCACAAAUUAAAUUAUAAUCAAACAUCAUACAUAAAUUAGCAAACAAACCAAAGUAUAUUUUGAAUUCAAAGUAUCUUUACAGAUCCAAAUAAAUAAAAUAUAACCAACUAAGUAUCUUCCUAGAACAUUUAAAAUAUUCAAAUAAAUAUACAUAGUAACUAGUAUUUUUUCAACAAAAACACCGGCAUUCCAUUAGAAGAAAUUUUUGUACUUGGCUUGCUCCGAUGUAGUCUAUUCGCACAUUUUUGUACAAAAUAAAAAAAAAAAUUAUUAAUAAUGAGGUAAAUAAAGUUUACCUAAUUAAUUAUUACUUUAUAUAAAUAAUCCAUUACACAAUUUCACAAAAAAUUAAGAUGAUAAUACAAGAUAGAUAAAUAAAUUAAUAUUCAUCGACUUUGUUAUUUUCUGUAAGAAAGUCAUUUUCAUUUAUUAAAAAUAUCUUAUUUGAAGAUAGUUAAUAUGUAUAAACCCUAAACUCUAAAUCCUAAACCCUAAAUUGCAGAUUUUCAAAAAUAAAACGAUUUACGAUUUUAUUUUACAAAAUCUCCCGCAAUGCACCUAUCUAGCAUGAUGUCCGCCCUUUCGGUAUGUAGUUUUCGCUAUCACUUAGUUUUCGGGAUUGGGUAAGUGAUUGUGGUCUCAUAGAUCUUUAAUUUGGUGCACUGGUUCUCAGUUUACAUGGUGGAAUUGUCGGCAUGGACUGGAGGCUAAGCGAGUUAGCUUCGAUAUGGAGUCCUGUGAAAUGGUUUAGGGGUGUAUGGUAUGGUGAAUACAUGAUAUAGAGGGCAGGUAGGCUUUCUUCGAUUAGGCGAACCACUCUCAUUCAAGCAAGACUCUUUGGGGCACUAGUCUUUUCCUUCUUGGCUGAAUCUCCCAUCAUGGAAGCAGGGGCUAUCCAGGGAUUUUGGUUUAUUGUUAGGAAUCCUAGGUUUUUAUUGGAUAACGUUCAUCUUCUUCCUUAAAUACUCAAGCUAGUCGAUCGAACUACCUCUCAACUUUAGGAAAGGCCGACUCAAAACCAAACCAGAACAUAGUUUGGAUGUGGGUUGAAGGAGUCUGAAAAUAACUUAUUAUUUAGUAUAGCACCGACCCAAUUGUAAGAGCUGAGCUCUACCAACUGAGCUAUAUCCCCCUGGUAGAUCCAAGAUCGAAUUUUGGAAAACAGAAAAAAAAAAUUCAAAUGUGUAUCCAGUCUAAAGGCAGGUUCUUACGCGUUACUCACCCGUCCGCCACUGGAAACACCACUUCCCAUCCGACUUGUCCAUGCCACGCUUCACCCUACUCGACAUACCUAUAAAAAGAGGCCCACAAAAAGGAGUGAGAAAUUGUAAAGUUUUCCUGCUGCAGAUACAACAAACUGGCUAAGACAAGUUUUCCCCAGCUAAUUGGUAGAAGAGUAGUAAUAUAAUAAGACAAGUAAAUUACUAGAAAGCAACAAUGAUAAGAUAUGUCUGCGAGGUAGUGUUUACAAGUAGAGUUAAUGUACAAUAUAUGAUGUUCUAUUUGUACGUCAAGUGUACCAAUAUUAAUGAGUCUAUAUCCCUAGCUCCCAACUAGCUAGGAAGAGUCCAUGUCAACUCUUACUUAGUGCCCUAUCUAGGAAGCUAUCCUAGAGACUACUACCUCCUUACUACUAACUACAUAGGAGCAUGCAGUAGAUAAACAUGUGUUAUUGCUAAACAUGUGUUAUUGCUAGCAUGCUUUCUAUGUCAUAUCACUAGAAUGACGACUAGGAUCAUUCGACAUAUCGUCACUAGGCAUGCUAUUACCAAUAUCUAUCAUGAGUACAUGAAUAUUAUGAGUCGUCACAUUUAUAUUGCAGUUCAUCUGGCAUACUUUCUACGAUGGAAGUGACUAAAUCAUGUGAAUAAUAUUAAUGUGUGUACGUACCAACAUCUCGAGUCUUAAAAUCCCUUUAAAAGUAAAAGUGUUUAGCUGGUUGGUUCUUAAGAGAAGGAUUCUUACAUGCGAUAAUCUUGUUAAGAGAGGGUUGAUAGAAGACCCUACCUGCGUGCUAUGCGGGUCGGACGAGGAAACAGUGGACCAUCUGUUCACUCGGUGCGUAUUCUGAAAGUUUAUCAUAGUGACAAGGAUGAACGAUAUUCAGGUCCAAGAUCUGAGGGACGAUGUGAAUCUCGUAUGGGAUAGGUGAUUGGGCAGGAAGGAUCAUCAAAUGAAGCGAACCAAACUUACAUACCUAGUAGGCUGCUGGUGGAUUAUUUGGAAGGUCAGAAACGACACUAUCUUUCGGAAUAUCCUUUCGAAUCCUGAGCUAGUGGUCCACAGGCUCAAGCUUCUUGUGAAGGAGUGGCACCUUAUUCUCACAUCUUAACUUCGGUUUUUUUUUUUUUUUUUUUUUUUUUUUUUUUUUUUUUUUUAUUAAGGUUUUCUUCCUCUCCAAGCCUAGUUGCCCCACACUUGUAGCUUAAUUCAUCAAUCCAAUAAAUGAAGCGGGUAGCGUGCUACCUUUUUCUCAAAAAAUAUUAAUGUGUGUACAUACCAUGAGUGGAUGAACCUAUUAUAAACGCGUAUAGGUAUAAGUAUGUGAUCAUCAACCAAAUUAUCCCUACUUGUCUGUAGUAUAAAUCAAGAAUAGUUAACGAGUCAAGAAGAAGUGAUUAACAUUAACGUUGAACUAGAUCUCCACCAAGUAUCACUACACCCACUUCGAAUUGACCACCAUCGAGAUUAGCUCACUCAGCAAUUACGGCUCAUUCCCAACUCCUCGAUCCUCUGUCAGAUCUGAGGAGAAUGUAUACAAGUUAUACACAAUAUACAUUAAGGCAUGAUCCACGACAAAAGAAACCUAUAAAAAUUCAACUUUGAGGUUUCAAGAAGCACAAGUUUCAAAAUGUGAUAUUGAAGUUCUGGAACCUCCCCUUGAUUCUGGAACCAAUGGUUAUGUUUCAUAGAACUAGAACCAUGCAUCUCCGUUCUAUUUUAUUGUUUAGGUUGUGGAACCUAGUACCUGGUUCCAAAAUUUGACCCCCAAAAUGCAUUUUCAGUGACUACAACUCGGUUGCUGCAACUCCACGAAGUUCACAAAAUUGCAUGGAGUUAUAGCCUCAAUUUGACCAGAAUCUAAACCCAUUCUCACAAGGCAUCUAAAAAAUAAUGAAGAGUAUGAAGAGGUCAAGAGGCACAGGUACGUAGUUCAAGACCCUAGGCCAAUUCUAGGGGUCAAGAUCAGAACUGAAAUCUACAGAAUGUUCCCAAAUCUUCCAAGAAAACUUUGAUCAAAUGAUUAAGAAGACUCAAAAAAGGGGCGAGGAUAACCUCAAACAAGCAUAAAGACUUGGCCAUUUACAAGCUCACUCAUAAUGACUUUGGAACCUAGGGUUUUAAGCUCAUUUUUAUAAAUCGAGUUGAAAUUACAAACAAAACCCAGAAACAACUUAAUUAAAACCUCUUAUAGCUUCAAAGAUCAAUCACCACUCAUCUACGGUUAAUUAGGGUUUCUCCCACCAAUAUAACUUUUUUCAGGAUGGGAACAUGCUUGCAUGUGGUCUACCGACAUCUUCAAUUCGAAACAAAAAAAAAAAGAAAAAGAGCUGUUUGCGAGCAAUGGGCUCACUUUGGCAACCUACUUAGGCCAGCCCAUAUCUAUUCCAAUAGCUAUAUAUGAUUUUAUUUCCAUGCAGUUUUAUCAUGAUGAAACUGAUAAAGUUGGAACGAUUACUUGAAAUUGUUGCUCCUUUUUCGGUUUAGCGGGCACAAGUACUUCUAUGCAAUAAAGUGAAUUUAUAUAUAUAUUUGGCAGCAAGCUAUAAAAUUUCUUUGCAGUUUCAUGGCCAAAAUAAAACAACAGCACCAAACAUGAUUGUACAUCAUUUAGAAUAUUUAUUUAUCAAAUAUAUAUUUUCAAAACUGCCCCCAAAAGCGUUUAACAUCUCCAUUCGUAGAUCAAGAACGUGAAAAAUGCAUGUAGUUGGCGCUAACAGAAGGGGCAACAUAUAGGAUUUUACAAAUCAAAAGGUACAGUUGUAGGUUAAGCAGCAUCAAUCUUUCUAUGGGACCGAAUACUUUUAGAAACAUUUUAUGAUCUUCUACAGCUUCCUUAGUCUUGAUCACUUUCAAUAGAAGACAUAUAGGGUUGAUAAUAGACCAAUCAUAUAAUACUUUGUUAUUAAAAAAAAUGACCAAAUUAAAAACAAUAUACUAAUUUUAAGUAAAAUAAAAUAAAAGACACCUUCAAAAAAAAAAGAAAUAAUAAUAACGAAAGAAAUUUAUCGGUUAAUGGGUUUAAAAAUUCCUCGCACCUUAGAUCACAUCUUAAUUAUUUCUAUGCAAAUAGUGUCAAUUUUCAUUUCGGACUUUGUCACAAACUCAAGUAUGCGCCAAAGCUUUAUGAAAUCAAGUUUCACAUAAACUGAAUAAAUGGCUUUGUAAACUGUCAAUUUAAUUUGAUCGCAUUAAUAACAAACAGGAUCUCUGCUGUUUAAUUUGUUUCACAUCUAUUAUAUAUUUAAGUUGGAAAUUAGCUAGAUAAAUAUUCAGAUGCAGCAUCAUAUGUGAUAUGUUAAGUAUAGCAAAAUCUCUUGCCGACGCUACUAUGUGGGCACAUUAAAUCUACAAAAUACAGCAAAAUCUUUUCACAUCAAUUCUCCAUUAUGGUGGGGGACAAUUUGAUCCUUACGCCACGGUUUUUUAGUCACUAAGGAAGCUAUGUUCCUCAUAUUCUAGUCCUUCAUGUGGGAGAAGGACCACGUGCUUUGAGUAAGAGUUAAGUCUCUUCUGGGACAGGAAUUUUGGUGGAAUAGAUCUAGAGAAAUAUUGUCAUAAUUAAACUGUUUCUUAGGAAUUGUAUGGUUUUAUGCAUGCCUACAUUUAGUCGUGAGUUUGGACCGCUCAAAAUCACUUUUAAGCUCUAAAUCAAAGCAAAUCUAAGGGACGUAGAACUCCUACUAUAGUUAUACAGAUUGAGUGGAGAAUAUAGAGAUUUCGGUGGACCAUGGAAUCGUACAGCUCGCCUAACGGUGGGGUCGAUUAAUUUCGACCAUUUGAUUAAUUAGUAGAUGCCCAGUAAUCUCGGCUUGAAUCACCGAUAAUCGAGCAGAUUGAUCUUAUAUAUAUUUAGGUAGACGUCGAGAACAGCUGGCGCGCAAGAUAAAUUUGUGUACCUAGCCUAUAGAAAAUUUGCACCCAAGUAAGGAAGAUCUGGUCAACUCAUCCACACCAAUAUUGAAGCAGACGUUGGGAGAUGGUUAGGUCACAAUCCAAGUUAGGUUUCAACACAGCACUCGCCCCUCCGUUUAUUUCCCCAUUUUAAAGAGUACAAGCCAUGGUACAUUUUCAUACUUUAUUUGUAAUGAAUGUAUGAGUAAGUGGCUUCGAAUAGAAAGAGGCAACAAAGUUUGUUGAACCGUUGUUGUUGGUACGUUUAAUGGGUACAAGAUUUUGCGGUUGGAUGGUGUGUCCGUUUAAAGGCUAUUUUUUGGUACAUAGAUUUUCUAGGUGAUGUUACUGAGGCAUCCAAUGUUAAAUGAGGGCUCAGUACAUAUGCUUUGUGAUGUUAACUUGGAUGUGGCCUAAAUUUGUGCCACGACUCACAAAAUGUGAAUUCUAGAUCUAGCAACUUAUAUAUGUACAUCAAGCUCAAAUUAAUAUUGGUGCCCACCUAGAGUGCUUCACUAUAUAUAAUUGUUUGAGAUGCUCUUGCAUAUUCAUCACAUGUCAAAUUAGUAAAUACUUUAAUCAUCCAUAGCUUGCUAAGUUGGCUACCAUCUAACACGGACAAAAAUUUUAUGGGCAUAACCCCCAAACUAACUAGUUUGGGGACUAUGCGGACCGGUGCCAUGUGGCCCAUCUGACGGCCACGGAUGAAACAAAAAAAAAAAAAAAAAAAAAAAAAAAAAAAGCCCUGUGGUUUUAGAGAAAGAGAAAAAAAGCAACUAAGAAAGGCACUCAUCGGAUCGGUCACAUGGCGCCGAUCCGCAUAGUUCCCAAACUAAUUAGUUUGGGGAAUAUGCCCAUAAAAUUUUUGUCCAUCUAACACCUAACACUAUUGGUAUGAAUGCGGAUGAAAUGUCUUGAUUCUCUGAGUUGUAAGGUGUGACACUAAUAAUUCCAAAAUUAGAUGAAAAAGUAAUUGUCUUUAAAUAUUUAAAAAUUAAGCAUUCAAUAUUAAUAACUAAAUUUAAAAUUUUGGAGUCAUUGGUUUGGAUCCAAUAAGUUGUUAGCACUAAUGGGUCUACUAAAGUCAGUUUACCAGUCGAAAAUGCGGAAUAGGUCAUAUGUAACCCGAUGAUUUUGUAUCGGGGGUGAAAAGUUCUCUUAAUAAGGACAUAUAUAUUUUGUUGUGUCAAGAUGCUAUUAUUAUUCUUCGAAAAUUACUUUGCAUUAAUAUUGUGGUUAACACAUCUCUGAAUCUAAAUCAUUUAUUUGAAAUAAGAUAAAUAAACUCGUAGAUGGAAUGUAAUAAGGGGUCCUUCAUUCCAUGAAUAUAUAGCUGCUAUGAGCCGAAUUUCCUGAUCCUUGACCCGGUCAAAAAUCUCUCUAGAGAAGAGUGUAGAAACGCAGAACGGCUGUGAAUAGUGACUCUCGAAGACUACUCCUAGAAAAUGCAAGAAAAAUACAGAAGAAGUAAAGGUGGUCUUCUAUUCUCGAAAAAAAUACCUCUUUCCCAAGCGUUAUUUGCCUAUUUAUAGUCUGCCUCUACUGGUUAGUUAUUGCCCCAUCCAUAAUCGGCCACUACCCUAUUUUUAAGGGCCACUUCAAGCCGAUCAAAUCUGCAUGUAACCGCCUGCAAUUACUGUAGCUUCCUGCAUUUAAUCCUGGCGGUUACUUAAUUAUAUUGUCGAUGCUCCCGGUGCACACCAAGACCUUCUCUAAUCCUUGCUCUUAAAUAUUGGGGUUGAAUGGUGCACCAGCAUACCACAUGGCCGCGCGUUAUUGGCUUAACAAUAGCAUUUUCCAUAAUGUAGCAAGUUUUAUGUUUGAAAUGGCAAAUUUGUUAUCAAUGACUUUGAUUGGGAGAUUAUCAAGACCUUGUAUAUCGACCUUAUACAUAUACAUGUAGCAUAUGUCCUUUUUAUACCAACCGUCUCUAGAGCAAGUAGCAAAGAGCUUAGUGGUUGGCACCCGAGACCCAUGUUCGAAUCCUAAGUUGAUUUACAUUUUCAGCUAAGUUUAUUUCUAAAUGAAAUAAGCGAAGUGGGUAGUGUGCUACCUAUCUCUCAGAAAAAGUUUAUGUCCUUUUUAUUGCUAACACUAAUUCUAUAAAUUAACGUAUCACAAUAAAAAUUUUCUUCUUACUGUCGUGAUUAAUUACCUUGUUAAUGCAUCUUGGUAAAGUGAUGGAUGAUAACUUUUAUUAGAAAAUACAACUAUUGUGAGCAAUCCAUUAUUUUUGUAUAAAUUUUAUUUUAAAAUAUUUUUAAAAAAACGACACCAAUGUUUGAACAAUGCCUUAGGACACUACAACAAAAACGAUCUAUAGCGACACUUUUAAAUGUUGGUAUAGGUCAAAAAAAGUGCUAAAUUACCGAUACUUUUAAAAAGUGUUGCUAUAUGUGGAGUCGCUAGGUAUAUAGCGACAAUUAAAGAGUGUCGCUAUAAUCUAAAAAAGUGUUGCUAAUUUAGCAACAUUUAUUUAAGCAUCUAGCAACCGUCGGAACUCUACCUCAUUGGCUGCGGUGGCGGAGGAGGACGAGAGGGAAGGGCUCUUCGUCUAGAAUUUCAGUGGAUUGAGUGUGGGGAGAAGAGGAGAUGAUAAUUGAUUUUUCUUUUUUUUUUUUCCUUUCAGUUUGGAAUCGGGCCAAAUAGACUGGAUUGGGUGGGUUGAAUAUAGUAACAUUUUAUUUUUUUAUUGGAUUCGGCUUUAUAUUUAAGCAUUAGUAGAUGUUUUUUUAAAUUUUGACAUAAAUGGGGCACUUAGACAAAAGUGCCCCAAACAUGUAUCCUUAUAACCUAAUUCUGUUGUAGUUGGACUCAUAUUAAAAAAGAAAAAAAAGAAGUUGCAAACGUUUUCAAAAUAGUUGAAAAGUUAGAAACUAGUUCAAAAAUUGCAAUAGAAGUAAGUGUGUUAACUACAUAUGCGACGCCUGCUUUUAAAGAGCAUCAUCUAUUCUAUAACUACUCUAAUCCUAUCAUACUUAACCCUUGUAACCCUUUAGAACUAAACACAGUCCAAAAUAUUAUAGCCAAAUUAAAAAAUUUAGUUUUACUAUAUCUUAUUUAUAUAAUUAUUUCCGGCCUUUGAAGUGACACAUUCAUUUUCUCUUUAAGCUCUGACAUUCUCGUCUGGUUCAAGCAUAUUUACAAAUACCAGACAUAUAAAACUUGUCUCUUUAGUCUUAUCAUUCAGAGCUUGACUUAAUCUGUCAUUUUCAAACCCCAACUUAACCCGUUAUUUUGACCCUAAUUUAGUUGAAACUCCUUUCAUACUUUCGAUUGGAGAUUAACUUUGAUACCAACUACAACGCUUUAAUUUUUAAAAGAAUAAUUUAUUCUAAAACUACUCUAGUUCUAACUUCUAACACGUUUAACCCUCCUAACUUCUUAGGUCUAACUACCUACCAAAAUGUUAUAGCCAAGUUUAAGAAAUUUAGUCAUAUUAUUUCCUAUAUAUAGAACCAUUUCGAAUCUUAAGAAUGUCAUAAUAUAUCUACAAAGUUAGUGAUAAAAAUUAAAUUGUCAGUGAAAUAUUGUUAUAUUCCUCUGAAAGCUAUUAAGCACAAAGUUUAUGAAAGAAAUCUGAGAACUCAAAACUUGUGUCAAAAAAAAAAACAAAAAAGUAUGGAACUUCUAAGCAAUAGCUGAAAAAUCAAGAACCCAUUUAAGAAGAGUGCAAAAUUAGGGAUACAUUUUUUGGGGGGAAAACUUCAAUUAAAUGCCAUCCUUGUGGUUUUACACUUUCUCACUUUAGUAUCCUAUGGUUUAAAAUGUAUUAAUUUAGUGCCAUGUGGUUUCAUUUUUAUCUUCUUAUUAUCGAUUUUACUAAUUUUUUUUUGUUAAAUCAGUGAGAAAGUUAAAACUAAAGGAUACUAAAGUGAAUAUUCAAUAAAUAUAGGUGGGGUAUCUAAAGUUUUUUGUAUAUAAUUUAACGAAAUAUUAACGGAAAAGCUGACGAAAAAAUAAAAAUGAAAUCACAGAACACUAACUUGAUAUAUUUUAAAUCACAGAGCACUAAAGUGAGAAAGUGCGACACCACAUGGGUGGUAUUUGAAGUUUACCCUUUUCUUUUUUUUUUCGCACGCCUCCAAAAUUUACAAAUAUUGUACAUAUUGUUGUAAGAUUGAUAUAUAAUAUGAGGAUUGUCCCUUCAAAAGUCUACUUAAUUUGUUUCAAUCCUACCCAUGUCUUUGGCCUCCAUCAAUUCAAAUGAAUUCAACUUAAUUUUACUAUUAUAUAGGAAAAUCCAAAUACGAAAUUGUCUAUUUUGCAUGCCUUUUUAUUUUGAAGCUUAAUCCGGGGCUGCUAUACCCGUUAUUUUAUUUCGAAAUAGGGUCUUAAACUUUUUCGUUUCUUUUCUUCUCAUCAAUAUAAUUUGACAAUUUUGCUGAAAUUAAUUAAUCAGUCCAUUUAGUACUAUUAGCUAUUAGUCCUUAAGAAAAGGAGUCGAUCGAAAAUAUCAAAAGCUUGAUGCAGUUGACGUUUAAAUUUACAAAUUUUUCACUUUAAAUGCUUGAAAUAAAUGAAAAUAAAUAAAGUUUAAGAUGUUAAAUAAUAUGAAUUCAUAAAAUAAAAUAGCUGUUUUCGAAUAAUGACUUAUAGUUGAGAGGGCUCCAAAUAUUUUUAUCUCACCGAAAAGAGUACUUGUGUGUCUUUCAAAAUCACUUUGUAACUUUCCGAUAAAAAUUCACGACUACACUCAAAUCGAUUUGUAUAAUUGAUUUUUGAAAGAUUAGCUAACAAUUUUUUACGAGAUAUAUUGUUUGAUUGGAAACUUCUACAUCAUUUUGUUUAAUUUUUCUCAAAGAAGAGAAUUAAUUUGCUUGUAAAUAAUUAAUUUAUAGUGUAUUUGUGAGAUUAAUUAAUGAUGACCAGAUGAUAGGGUAUUUAAGGGGCAGUGAUAAUAAAUAGAAAUGAAUUCAGUAAAUUUUUCCUAAAAAUUACUCGAUAAUUUGUUCUUAGGGCAUGUUUAUUUUGCUUUUAUAUAAUCGACCUCAGAAACGGAGUAGUAGUCCAUUUUGACUCUUGUAGAUGUUUAGUAUACCUUUUAAUCCCAUUCCAAUUUCGUUUCAGCACCAAACAGAAAUCAGCAAAUCCGGGAUUAAGUCGACUUCAGCCUCCGAUCCGAACUGAGAGUUGAAUCCAGGAGUAGUAGUGAUCAUCGCGUCUUAGUGACGUAAACAUUGAUGGUGAGAGUGAUUUAUUCCAAUAAUUUUAACUUUAUUAUCAAGAUUUUAAUUGAACGUCCUGCAUAUACAAAAACAGAAAAAAAUCUAACAGUAUAAAAAAAAAAUUGAAGAUAGAAUAGAUCGAAAUUUACGUAAUUGACUGUGUAUACGAAUGUAUUUUACUAUACGAAGAAGUAAAAGGAUAACUAAGCUUACACAUUAUAUCUUCUAUAAACUAAAAAUUAAAAGCUUUAUGGUCAAAUCCAUGCAUCUUUCCUCAACUACGAAAUAAGUAGAAAGAGUUUCUUAUAAUUAAAAUAUUUAUUAAAGAAGACAAAUCCGAUAAACAGUUAAUUAAUUAAUUUACUGCAGCCGAAUAAAUCUCAUCCCUGCCGUGCCCGAAACUCCUUCCCGCCGAUCCUCUUAAAGCGGUUGAGAAGAUGAGUCGCCGGAACUUCGAUUAAUCAUCCGGACAACGUAAGAAAGCCGCCUCCACGUCGCCUUCCCACCUACUGCUUAAUUAAUUAGCUUGGCGUUACCUACAUAUACGUAUACCGAUAUAGAGUUGAGCCGGAAUCUAUAUAUUACGGACACUUCUAUCAGCCUCGCAUGUCCGUAACGGGCACUUGCGUGUCCGUGUUAGAAACGUGUCCAAUAUGGACACUCUUUAAACGCAUGUUUCUGUUAGUAGCCGAAUCUUCCCGACCCUUGACCCGGUCAAAUAUCCUCCUCGGGCAGCACGUCGGGGUGAUGAGCGGCUGCGAACGAUGACCCUCGAAGUUUGCGCCCUUCGACAGAUCAAGCGAUUCGGCUGAUGAGGGAUCGAAUCAGCCGAAUCCAAAAACCUCUAUAGUAGAUUCGGUUCGACUAAAAUGAGCCGAAUGUAUGGACUGAGCCAGGAUUGAGGUCGGCCGAUGAGCCGAACGACUAAAGAACACAAAGAAAACGGAAACUGAUCGACUCGAGGAGCCGAAUGCCUCUAUAUUGAUUGACUGGAGAGAGAAGUACAAAGGCGGAUAUGAAGUUUACAACGGAGUGAUGCCCGUAGGGCAGACAGACUCCAAGAAUCUAACUUAAAAAACUAUUCCCAGGAAAAAUCAAAAUUACAAGUAGAUUACUACUAGAAAGUGUAGGAAAUUGCGUGGAAGAUAAAAGCGGUCUUUUGUGCACAGGGGCAAAGACCUCUUUCUUUUAGGGCGUUAUUGGCCUAUUUAUAUGUCGCCCUUUGAUCAGUUACUCAUUUUUCACGAUCGGCCAUGACUUCCUAAUUCUUCGGACCACUUCCAGCCGAUCGGAACCGCUUACAACCGUUUGCGGUUACUGUAACCCCCUCGAUCUAGCGCGGUUCAUGCUUCCCUUAAUGCUCCCGGCGCAUAUCGAAACUGUGGCUCUUGCAUAGACUUGGCGUGCCAGCUGUCCAUGCCGAAUUGGCUCAACAAUUGCCCCCUCGAUCGGCAGCUUUUGAAGCGACGCUUCGGUAGCUGGCGUCUUCCAAGGCAUGAUUACUUUUCAAAUUCCUAGUGUUGCUCUGUCUCAACUAUUCGUCUCCUCUUAUGCCGAAAUUCUGCCAUCGCUUCAAGAUAAAGCGUGAUCCGAGGCGUAUUUUUUGGUCCAAUUAAUUUCAAACCUUCUGAGCACUUUUCCACCCAAAGUACGAUUAGGUUUCGGCCGUUCAUUUUUCUUUAUGGCCCUGAUUUUACCCUCGAUUUUUAUCUUACAUGCGGUAUUAAUUAGGUCAUUUUAAUUACCGUCGUCUAAUCAUCAUUAUAGCCGACCUCGGAAUUCGUUUCGACACGACGGCUAUCUUUCCUUCUUCUUCAACUCUUUAUCUUUCGUUUUCAUCGCUUUCUUUUACUUCUUCUUCGUUUCUUACAACACUUCAUCCCUUCCAUCGAACCCCUUUCUCAUCUUUCUCUCUUUUGAGUAAUGGCACCGGUUCCGCCUCUUCCUUCUCAUCCGUCCCUGGAUUAUACUAUGCUUAAACCCUUUAUCGAUUCAGACUCAUCUCGAUUUAUUUUGGGUCCUUCUUUUAUAGACGUGCUAUCCCUUAUUGACUUACUCUUUUCUAGCGACGGUCUUCCCCUGAGAAAAGCUAUUCACCUUCAGUCUUGGUACUCUUCAGCUUCAACAGAGAAGAGUCUUCGAACCUGGCCAAGUAUCUCAGAGGCAUACUUAACCUGGUUAGAUAGAGUAGAAGCCGCCUUUGGUGACUUUUGGCGGAAGGUUGGGAUAUAUGAAGCCAUUCAAUUAUCUCGGCAUCCUCCUAUUGCCGAUAAUCUUCUUCUAGCCGCCGCUCUAUGUUUUUGGUCCCCUGCCUCUAAUAUUUUUCUUUUUAAAAGAGGACCUCUUACUCCCACUCUUUUUUAUGUUACCGUCAUUACCGGCUUGCGCCCUCAUGACGUUACUGUUUCUAUGUCUUAUAAUUCUGACAGCGUAUCUGAUUUUGAGGAUCGUUUAGACCUCAAUGACCUGGCUUACUCCAAGUUUAUCCGCAGAUUCGCAGGUAAAUCCCCUGCUCCUGUCACUAGGAAAGAACAUACAGCAUUCCUCCUUUAUUGACUAUGUCACAAUUUCUUCUGUACUCGUUCACAGAAGAUCAAUCAUGACUUUGUUCCAAUCGCCGUUGGUUUGUCUAACGACGAUAGAUUAACUCUAGGGCCUUAUUUUCUUGCCUUUGUUUAUAGAGAAAUCUUUUAUUCUAUCAAAAUACUGCAUUCUGGAGAUGGUAUUGCCAUCAGUUCUGGCUGUGGCGUUUUCUGGUUUCUCCAAAUAUUUUUGUAGUUCUAUAUUCCCGCUUUAUGUCAAUCUCCUUUUAACCCGACUUCUGUUGCCCAAUUUGAUUCUUAUGGGUUAGCUCUCGGCUGUCCGCAACCGAUGACUCCGAGUCAACCUUCUGACUUUCUUACUUAUUUUAAAACUUUUUAUAAGCCGAGUCCUGAAUCGGCUAUUUUCUAGACUCCCUUUGCUAACCGUCUUACUGGUCCCUCCUGGUUCCUUGCCCGAUUUGAAGCUAUCCAAGGUGAAUUGGCCUCUUCUCGCGCCAGUGAGUACUCAGAGAUAUGGUACUCUUAUUUGGCUCCGAGAGAUCUUCAUGUGGGGUUAAAAUCGCGCUCAAAACUAUUACCAAGCACUGAAGUUUAUUCCCCUCAGUAUGUGGCCUGCCAGUUUGGAUUUGUUCAGCCGAUUCCUGCUCCAUCUAAAUUUUGUACAACUAAUACAGCCGAUCAUCGACCCGCUAUUAAAGGUAUAGCCAAAACUGAUAAGAUUUCGGCUAUGGAAAAUCGCCUUCGUCGAUUCUUUAAAUUUGUAAGCUUCAGACAGAACUACACAGGAGUAGCUCUUGCCGGCUAUGCUACCAUUUGGGAUCAUUUUACUGAUCGUCUUCUUGACCUUUCUCUUCUUCGGGCAUUUCGUAGAACUAUUCAUCCAUUUGUUUCAGUUGAUACUCCUGCCUCAUCGUCAAGAGAAGGAAUAGAAGAAGCUUCUGAUCACAUCUCUAAUGCCCAGCCUUCUUCUUCUGUAAUGUAUCUAUCCUUAUUUUAACUUUUCUUUUUAACAUUCCCAAUACUUACUUUCCUUCUGUUUCCUUUUUUCUGCAGUCAAUUCCAGUUUCUCCAUCGGUCUCAGUUUCAGAAAAAAAAAAAAAAACCGAUUGAGACCGCUCAAUCUACUCCCCCGCUGCCUCCAAAAUGGCGUAAAUCAGUUGCUAAAAGGCCCCAUUCCAAGCAAGCUGAAAGUAUUUCUGCGGCUAAUGUAAAGAGAAAAACUGAGGAAACACCACCAGCCCCUGUUCCCGAAAAAAGAGCCGAAGAAAUGCCUUCGGCUGAUGCCUUAAGAUAAGAAUUUGUUUCUAAUGAGCCUAACAUGAGGGUCGUCGAGGUACAUCAUCAACUUGAGUAGUUGAUAGUGUCUAAUUAUGAGUUGUGGGUGGAUUUUCUAUAUUAAUGUUGGAACUCUGAUAUCUUCAUUUGGCAAUAAAAUUGUGGUCGAUAAUAUAGAAUCAUCAUACGUGACAUCAAUGGUAACAGUGGUAGGAGGAUUAACAAUGUCAUUUUGGUUAUUUGCUGGAGUAGAGUGAAAAGGAAAAAUAUUUUCAUAGAAGGUGACCUGACGACAAACAAAAAUCUUACCAUAUUCAAUGUCAUAAACAUUUUGUCCCAUAGGAUAUCCAAGGAAAAUACAACGCUUGGCUCGGGAGUCAAACUUAUGUUUGUGAGUAUCAACAUUCCAUGCAUAACAUAAAUACCUAAAGACAUGUAAAUGAUCAUAAUUAGAUUUAGAAUCGGAAAGUACUUCAUGAGGAGAUUUGCCAUCAAGAAUAGGUGUAGGAAUCUUGUUUAUUAAGUUGUAGUGAAUACACACUCUUGGAAAAAAUUAAUAAGAAGAAUGGCUUGAAAACUCAAUACUUGUGCUACCUCAAAAUGAUGACGAUGCUUAUGCUCGACGACCCCGUUUUGCUGAGAAGUAUGAACACAGGAUCUUUGAUGAAUUAUUAGUGAACACACACUCUUGGCAAAAAUUAAUAAGAUGAAUGGCUUGAAAACUCAAUACUCGUGCUACCUCAAAAAGAUGACGAUACUUAUGCUCGACGACCCCGUUUUGCUGAGAAGUAUGAACACAGGAUCUUUGAUGAAUUAUUUUAUACUCUUGAAAUAACAAUUGUAUAGGUUGAGACAAAAAUUCUAACCCAUUAUCAAUCCUUAUUUGUUGGAUAUUGCAACCAAAUUGAGUAUGCACUAAAUUAAUAAAAGCUCACACAAAUUUGUAUUUUCAAAUUUGUAUCGCAUGAGAUAAAUCCAUGUACAAUGUGAAUAAUCAUCAACUAUGCUAAAAAAAAUUAUGUGCAUCAGAAUAAGAUGGAGUAGAAUAACCUCUCCAAAUGUCACUGUGAACCAAAUUGAAAAUCAAACAACUUUUACUCAAACUAGAUUGAAAGGGCAAAUGAGUUUGUUUAGCAAGAGUACAUGCAGCACAAAAGUCAAGAGAACAAGAAUAGCCAUGAAAAUGAGAAAGGGAAAGGAAGCAAGCCUGUGUUUUUAAGGAUGGACUAGUCUCUGAUGCCAAAGAUGACUCAAUUUAUUUCAAAUGGCUGCAACAACGUACGAGUGGUUGAACAAAAUGAUGUAAUUUAUCAUGCAACUUCAUCAACUCCAAUCAACUUUCUCUGUUUCUCAUUGUCAGGUCCUGAAAUAUACAAAAAGCCAGAGAAAGUAUGGUAUAAUUCAUAGAACUAAUUUUUAGUCUUUUAAUUUUAGACUACUCAUUUGAUAGGUAAAUAAUGUCGAAAAAUUAUAAAAUUUGAUUUUCGAAUACUUUCAAUAGUGUAGAUUAACUCUAACAAAGCUGAUCAUCGAUUCAGAAGCUGCAUCAUUGAAAACAACUUGGUAGCAUGAAAGCCUCCUUGCUACCGAUAAUGUAGUAGCCUGUCUAUAUAUAUAGAGAGAGUCCAGCUACUAUACUCUUAUGAGCACGAUCGCCCUCGUACUCAUAAGUUGUUUUCGCUGAUAGAGCUUCCGAAUCAACGAUCCACACCGUUAAACGUUAUCUAGAGCAUUUAAAACGUCUAGAAAUCAAAUUUUAUAAUUUUUCAACAUCAUUUACCUUACAAUUAAAAGGUCACAAAAUUGACAAUUUUUAACGGCCGGUAUGAAAUAUUUAUUAGUUUAACGGUGUAAAAGAAUUGAAAUUGGUUGAAUUUUUGAUAGAAAAUUCUAUUCACUACAUAGAUAGAGAUCAAUAACUCUGAUCUUAAAUUGAAGGAUCUGAUCAUCCAUUUUUAAGACGUCGUUCGAUUUUGGCCGUUCAUUUUAUAUCUGCUUGAUGAACUUUAUUAUGAUUUCGAAAAAUUACGAAAUUUAUUUUCUAAAAGUUUCAAUUACUCUAGAUCAUAUUUAACGGAGUGGAUCGUCGAUUCGGAAGCUCAAUCAUUGAAAACAACUUAUGAGCAUGAAGGGCUCUAUACUCAUAAGAGUAUAAUAGCCAUAGCCUAUAUAUAUAUAUAGAGUUGAGCUAUGAAACUUUCACAAGUAUCACCAUCAUGGUGCUAUUAGAUUUUAAGCCGUUGGAUCUACUUUUUGAUUAUUAAUAGCCCUUGGAUUAAACACUAUUCCACCUACCACCACCUACCACCAUCAUCUCAACCUCACAUCUCUCCAUCCAAGGACUAAAAACACACAAGUAUCACCCCAUGAUACUUUUACAAGUAUUCUAGCCCUACUCUAUAUAUAUAUAUAUAUAUAUAUAUAUAUAUAUAUAUAUAUAUAUAUAUAUAGAGAGAGAGAGAGAGAGAGAGAGAGAGAGAGAGAGAGAGUCCGACUGGUAUACUAUUGGUAGCAUGGAAGCCUCCGUGCUACCAAGUUGUUUUUGAUGAUGCAGCUUUCAAAUCAACAAUCGUCUCCAUUAGACUUGAUCUACACUAUUGAAAAUAUUUGGAAACUAAAUUUUAUAAUUUUUUGAUAUUAUUUACCUAUCAAACGAGUAGUCUAAAAAUGAAAUGCUAAAAAUAAAAAUCUUUUUAAAAAAUUAUGAUAAAAGACUUGAAUUUAAAAUCAGAGAUACUGAUCUUACUCUAAAUAGUAAAAAAAAAAAAUUUAUAAAAUUUUCAUCAAAUUUAAAUUGUUUUACACCGUUAAAUUCACAAACGCAUCACAUCUGCCAUUGAAAUUGUCAUUUUUAAGACCUUUUGAUCAGUAAACAAAUAAUGUCGAAAAGUUAUGAAAUUUAGUUUUCAAAUAUUUUCAAUAGUGUAAAUCAAGUCUAACGGAGUUGAUCGUUGAUUUGAAAGUUGAAUCAUCGAAAACAACUUGGUAGCAUGGAGUUCUCCUUACUACCGAUAAUAUACCAGCCUAAUUCUAUAUAUAUAUAUAUAUAUAUAUAUAUAUAUAAUUAGACUGGAAUACUAUUAAUAGUAAAACGCUUUUUUGCUAAUCAAUUUUAACCCUUGGAUGAAAAAUUAUAGGGUUAGGAUGAUAUUAAGUUAGUUAGAGUUGUGGUCCCACUGGGUUAUAGUAUUUAAUCAAUGGUUAGAAAUGAUUAAAUAGUUGAUCCAAAGGCUUAAAAACUGUAGCAACAAUAAAUUUUGCUACUAAUAGUAGCCCAGUCCAACUCUAUAUAGAAUAGACUGGAAUACUAUUAAUAGUAAAACCUUUUUUUGGCUAUCAAGUUUUAACCGUUGGAUGAAAAAUUAUAAAGUUAGGAUGAUAUUAGUAGUUAGAGUUGAGUGGUCCCCACUGGGUUAUAGUAUUUAAUCCAAUGGUUAGAAAUGAUUCAAUGAGUUGAUCCAAAGGCUUAAAAACUGUAGCAACAAUUUUUAACUUGGCCGUUUAGAUGAACCUUGCUAGUUUUAACGGUGUAAAAGAAUCGAAUUUGUUGAAUUUUUCGAUAGACAAAUUCAAUUCACUACAUAGAUAAGAUCAAUGAACUCCGAUCUUGAAUUGAAUGAUCCGAUUAUCCUUUUUUUUAGAUGUCGCUCGAUUUGACCGUUCAUUUAUUGCCUACUUGAUGGACUUUAUUAUAAUGAUGUGGCCCCUAGGCUUGAGUAGGUAGUUGGUUGAAUAGUAUAAUCUAACGGGUAAAAAUAAUCAAAGGAUUAGUUUAAUGGUAGAAAACUUAAUAGCACCAAGUGUUUGUGCUAUCGAUAGCAUAGCAGCCGGACUCUCUAUAUAUAUAUAUAGAGAAGAGAGAGAGAGUCUAGCUACUAUAAUCUUUUAUGAGUUUGGCUCCAUUACACUCAAGUUUUCGGCCUUAGAUUUAUUCUAUUGAUCAUUCCACCUGUUAUAAAUCAUACUAUUCAACCAACUACCCACUCAACACUAGAGGACCACUAUCAUUCUAAACAAGGACCCACCUCAUCCUAACCCACUACAUUCUAUAAUCAACCAGUUAAAAAUUUAUGAGUAUACAGGGAGGUCUACACUCCUAAUAGUAUAGUAGCUCCACCUAUAUAUAUAUAUAUAAUAUAUUAUAUAUAUAUAUAUAUAUAUAUAUAUAUAUAUAUAGAGUGAGGCUACUAUGCUAUCGGAAGCAAUGGCCUUCCGUGCUUCCAGCUCGUUUCGAUGUUGCGACUUUCGAAUCGCUCGAUCGGCUCCGUUAAACUUGAUCUAGAGUAUUCUGAAGUACUAGAAAAUAAAUUUAUGAUUUACGAUAUCAUUUGCCUGUGAACGAAGGGCUCAAAAUCAACGGAUGAAAAUAAAAAUCUUACAAAAAUGUAAUAAUAGACAUUGAAAUUUUAAAUCAAAGAUAUGAUCUUGUUUUAUAUAGUAUAAGAAUUUUCUAUCAAAAUUUCAUGUGAUUUGGAUAUUUCUACACCCGUUAAACUUGCAAACGCUCACUACGGCAUUGAAAUUUGUUGAUUUUGAGCCCAUUCGAUCACUAGGCAAUUGAUAUCGAAAAAUAAUAAAAUUUAUUUUCUAGGUACUCCAAAUACUCUAGAUCAAGUUAACGGAGCCGAUCGACGAUUCGAAAGUCACAACAUCGAAAACGAGCUGGAAGCACGGAAGGCUCCGUGCUUCCUAUAGCAAGUAGCCUCACCUCUAUAUAUAUAUAUAUAUAUAUAUAUAUAUAUAUAUAUAUAAUAUUAGGUCUUGUGUGCUAUUAGGAGCACAGAGGCCUCCGUGCUCCCUAACCGUUUUCAAAUGAUAGAGUUUUCGAAUCGACGAUCAGCUCCGUUAGAUUUGAUCUAACAUAUUUGAAGUAUCUGGAAAAUAAAUUUUGCGGUUUUUCGAUAUUAUUUACUUACUAAUCGAAAGGGUUUAAAAUCAACAAUUUUUAAUGGUUGAUGUAUACCGUUUGCAAAUUUAACAGGUGUAGAAGUAUUCAAACCAGAUGAAAUUUUGAUAGAAAAUUCUUUAUAACUAUUUACAGCAAGAUCAAUUCUUGAUUGAAAUUUAGUGCUAUAUCACACCACUUUUUUGUGAAUUUUUAUUUUCAGCCGUUGAUUUUGAAUCCUUUUCGAUCGCUAGUAAAUGAUAUCGAAAAAUCGUAAAAUUUAUUUUCUAGAUACUUCAAAUAUUCUAGAUCAAGUCUAAUGAGCCGAUCGUCGACUUCGGAAGCUCCAUCAUCGAAACACGCUUAGAGUACGGACCUCCCGUGCUCCUAAUAACACACAAACCUGCUAUAUAUAUAUUAUAUAUAUAUAUAUAGAUAAGAGGAGAGAGAGAGAGAGAGAGAGAGAGAGAGAGAGAGAGAGAGAGAGAGUAGGGCUACUAUACUCUUAUGAGUAUAGAAUCCUUACUACUCAUAAGUUGUUUUCGAUGUUGGAGUUUUCGAAUCGACGAUCGACACCAUUAAACAUGAUCUAGAGUAUUUGAAACUUCAAGAAAAUAAAUUUUAUAAACUUUCGAAAUCAUUAUAAAGUCCAUCAAGCAAGUAUAAAAUGAACGUUUAAAAUCGAAUGACAUCCUAAAAAUGAAUGAUCAAAUCCUUCAAUUUAAGAUCGGAGUUAUUGAUCUUUAUUUAGGUAGUGAAUUGAAUUUUCUAUCAAAAAUUCAACCUUUUUCGAUUCUUUUUCACCGUUAAACUAGCAAAUAUCUCAUACCGGCCGUAAAAAAUUGUCAAUUUUGUGACCGUUUGAUAGUAAGGUAAAAGAUAUCGAAAAAUUAUAAAAUUUAAUUUCUAGAAGUUUUAAAUGCUCUAGAUAAUGCUUAAUAGUAUGGAUCGUCGAUUCGGAAGCUCUAUCAUCGAAAAUAACUUAUGAGUAUGAUAACUUAUGAGUAUGAGGACGAUCGUACUUAUAAGAGUAUAGAUAGUAACCGACACUAUAAUAUAUAUAUAGAAGAGAGAGAGAGAGAGUGUGAGAGGCUACUAUGCUAUGCGAACACGGAGCCUUCCGUGCUUGCCAAGCCUUUUCGAUGUUGCACUUUCGAAUCGUCAAUCGCUCGUUAAACGAUCUAGAGAUUUGAGUACCUAGAAAUAAAUUUAAUUAUUUUCGAUAUCAUUUGCCUAGUGAUCAAAUGGGCUCAAAAUCAACAAACUUCCAAUGCCGUAGUGAACCGUUGCAAGUUUAACCGUAUAGAAAUAUCCCGAUCACGUGAAAUUUUAUAAAAAAUCUUUAUAGGCUAUAAUAACACAAAUCAAUAUCUUUGAUUUAAAAUUUGAUAUAAGUCAUAAGUAUUACCUUUUGUAAGAUUUUUAUUUUCAGCCGUUGAUUUUGAGCCUCUUCUUCACUAGCAAAAUGAUAUCGUAAAAUCAUNNNNNNNNNNNNNNNNNNNNNNNNNNNNNNNNNNNNNNNNNNNNNNNNNNNNNNNNNNNNNNNNNNNNNNNNNNNNNNNNNNNNNNNNNNNNNNNNNNNNGUGUGUGUGUUGUGUGUGCGUGCUUAGCUAUCUGGCUCUCUGGAAGCACGCGAUGCGUUCCGUGCUUCCAAGUCGUUUUUCGAUGUUGAGGACUUUCGAAUCCGAUGCACUCCGUUAGACUUUGAUUUAGAGUAUUUUAAGUAUUUAGAAAAUAAAUUUUCGUUUUUUUUAGAUAUCAUUUCCAUAUGACGAAGCGAAAUCGCAUUAUUUCAUGCGAUUUCGGCGCUUUUAUGGUCCGUCUACACAAACUAGGAGUCAUUCAGCCAAACCGAGACACCUACUGACAGGUCUCGGCGUGCCGGAGGCCGUGCUCACCUUUCGGAGCAAUUCCGGCCAUUGUGGGGAGCGCACGAGCGACGCGAAAUUCAGUAAACUGCGCACUGAAACUAAAACACAUGUAACUAACUCAUCCGGAGCUCUAUGACCCUAAGUGAGGUGAGCACUGUGAUCAGGACUGACAGACUAUCACCGUGCUCACCCCCGGAGGCAUCGGAACAGCCUCGGGUCGCCGGAACAGUGACUAGAACAGGAAAUCAUGUACAGAACAGCAAAAACAUUGCUUACCGGCCAGGGCAGUGCUAGGGCUGGCCGGCGGCGGCCGGACGGCGAGCGCUUCGGCCGGAGAUGGGAGCAGCUGGUCCAAGGGGUCCGGGUCACCUGCUGGCCGGCGGCGGGAGGCGGCCAGUGGAGCGGCGGAGGAGAUCAAGCCGCGGCUUGCUCUCGGGUUCCAUGUGUUCCCGGCGGCGCGGCGGCGGCCGGAGGAGGUCGGGGCGACGGCGAUCCAUCGCCGGAGGCCGUAGGAAGGGUGGUGCUCCCCGCUGUGGGCGGCGGCGACGCGCGGAUUGGAGGGAAGCCCAGCCUCGGCCCGCACCAAGUCUGGGCGGCUGUAGGAGCUUCAGGCGGCGGCCGGCGGUGGUCGGGGACGCCGGGAAACACGCGCGUGAGGUCGCCGACAGCAAAGGGAGGCGGGGCGGCCCGCCUCGAGGCGGAUGCGGCGCACGAAUGCAAAGAUCGCCCAGGCUCGGCCUGGGUGAUUGCAGGUGGCCGCAGGGAGCUUGGGCGGCUUCGGCGGCGUGCGCAGGCGAUAGGGCCGGCGGCAGAGGUCGCCGGGGCUCCGGGUAAGGGCGUCUCGGCCGUCCCAAAGUGGCGGCGGCCGUGCUAGCAGGGAGCUAAAGCUCCUGGGCCAGAUCUGUCUAGAUCUGGCCGCAGCCUGCCUAGGCGGUGGCGGCAGUGCGUAGGGACGACUGGGACGGCGCCGGGGCUUCGCCGGAGGUCGGGCAUAGCCAGGGGACAGGGGCCCGAGGGUGAUGAUCUCCCAGGUGGUCCUCGGGCAGGGAUGGAGAGGUGGAUAGAUGGAUGUUGAGAGAGAGAAGGAUGGAGAGGGGUGGCCGGGUUCAAGUUUUCCGGCGGCCGGGGCACCUGCCGGCGGCCGGGGUGCGAGCAUGGUUAGGGCAGGGCUACUCUGAGGUCGGCUAGGGCACAGAUGGGGCGCUGGGUCGAGUAGAUCUAGGGUUUCGUGCAUAGAAACCCUAGAUGCACUUUGAAUACCAGGUGCAAUUUUGCACAAAAGUCCACCGAAACUACAAAUUUCCAACCUAGUCCUUCACAAUGAGUAACUCUCGCGCUUUUGCACCUCCACAAUCGAUCUCGCGCGAUUCGGUACAUAAAAUAUCACAACUUUUGCGGAGUUUCCGAUUUUGCCAAUUCGACCCCUCAGCGAACAUUUCGCGUUUCCUGAAAAUCCGUCCGUCGGAUUUUCGAUCCGACAACACCAUUGCGUUCAGCGCGUCGGGUGCAUCGAAUUUAGCAUUUCGUUUCGUCCGAUUUGACCUCCGAUUCACGACGAAAUCCAUCCGCUCUCCAAAAGGCCAAAAUGAUGCACAAUUAUAUAAAACAUGUAUUUUCAGAUUUUCUCGAAAACCGUGCAUCAGAUCUAAAAUCCGUCAGUGCCAUUGGUUCCAGAAUAGCUGAACCGUUCAAAACGACUAUUGGACCGCUAUGAACGAUGUUCCGAUACGCGCCGAAAGCCAACUUUACUCCGUGGCUUCACCGAAAAAGCGGAGUUACUAUUCACUUAAGUGAAAACUAAUAAUCGCGUAACUUCUAUAUUUUAGCUCAUUUUCUCCUGAAACUUGACGAGUGCUUAUGUAAUUAAAUUACACACAUAAACAUCAUCAACAGAAAGUUUAGUUGCACUGUAAAAAUCUCAGUCCUUAUUACUAUAUAUAUACUAUAUAUAUAUAUAUAUAUAUAUUUAUAAUAUAUAUAUGAUAUCGGCUCGAAUACUAUUAAUAGUAAAACGCUCUUUUUGCUAUUAAGUUUUUAACCCUUAGAUGAAAAUUUGUAGGGUCGGGAUGAUAUUAGUCGGUUAGAGUUAAGUGGUCCCCCUAGGGUUGAGUGAUUCCCACGGAGUUAUAGUAUGUAAUCCAAUGAUUAGAAAUAAUGAAAAGAGUUGAUCCAAAGGCUAAAAAACUGAUAGCAACAAUGAGAUUUUGCUACUAAUAGUAGUCCAGUCCAAUUCUCUCUCUCUCUCUAUCUCUCUCUCUCUCUCUCUCUCUCUCUCUCUCUCUCUAUAUAUAUAUAUAUAUAUAUAUAUAAUUUUUGAAACCAAAUACAGUCUGCACGUAAUUUAAUUAGUUUUCUACAUUCGAAUCAAAGUGCAGUUUUACAUGGACAAAAAAUGUUUGCAAAGAGCAUUGCAAUGGGUAAGCCGCGGGGAGUCCCCUACAAUAUUGUAGAUGAUCCAUCAUCAUUAAUAUUAUACUCUAACCAUUAUUACUAAAUCCCAAAUACCUUUGUUAAGCCCCAAAUACUAUUAUUAUAUCAUAAAUUUUAAACUCCAAAUUUUCUACAUGCACAUUCCAACACAUCAAUAAUAAUAAUAUUAUAAUAUGAUACAAAUUUUGAGGUAUAUUAAUAAGUAUUUUACUUUCGCAACUAUUUUUUUUAUUUGUUUAUGAGAGAGAUUAUUAUUAUUAUUAUAUUUACUGAUAAAAGAAUGGUCCUCACACGUGGUAUACCACAUCACCACCUCGUGUCCCUGUCCCUGCAUUCAUUGGGCCCUUUCCCGCUUGUUAGUACAAUAAUAACUAAUAACAACGCCCCUUCCGCUUCUGCAAAAGCCAUCUCGUUUCCAAUAAUAAUAUUAUUUUAUUUUAUCAAAACAAGUACAUAAACAUAACACUUUCCUUUUUUUCCUAAUUUUUAUUAAUAUUUAUUUAUUCGUAUUACUUUUCUCCUCUGCUUAUCCACCUCAGUUCAGUCCCAUGCGCGGUAUUUUUAAAAGUAAAUUCGCGAACAUGGCGGGAAAAUACACCCCCCCUUUUCCCGCCCGUAUUUCCAAGAUCCCUUUCACAUGCAAAAAUAUAUGAAUUUGUUACUGCACCAUUCGAUAUUGCAAGUUGGUUUCUGUUUUUUUUUUUUUUUUUUUUUUUUCAUUAAACACUUGACUUAGACAACAAAUUUAAGGCUUAUUGUUAAUAUUAAUUACUGAUGUUCAACUGCAUUGAAUUUUCAUAAGCGAAUUUUAGUACUGCUAUUAUUUUUGUUAUUUUUAUAAAGAGAGAUUAUUUCCGUUAGCAAUUGACUAGCUUAUAUUAAAAUCUCUGCAACUAUAGAUAAUUCUCACAAAAGUAGCACUUUCUUUUACUUUCAUUUGAAUUAUUUGGCAAAUAAAAUGGAAUAUUGUAUUCUCAAAAAUUGUAAAUUUAGUCGAAUUAUGCGCCUCAAAUAAAAUUAAAUCACAAUUAAGGAUAAGUCGAUCAAAGAAGAUAAAUCUCAGAGUCUGUAGAUCAACAGGCCCUGCAAAUUGAAAAUUUUGCAUACGUUUCAUCUUAAAAAAAAACGCCUUAAACAUUUUAUUGAUCAUUGUAUCAGUAUUUACAGUGCACUAAAAUUAAUAAACCCACGCAGGGACUGCAUCGCAAUAUUCGGAAAAUAAAGGGACUAUGCACGCAAUUUCCUACAGAAUCAUAUUACCGAUAACUUUUUUACAGUUUUUGUUUUAAAAAAAAGAAAAACUCAAACAUUCAGAUAAAAGUUUCGUAUUGAUCCUCAAACUUUUAAUUUGAACAUUAAAAACUCUAAAAGAAUUAUAUUUCGGUCAUGCACGAUAUAUUUAUUAUUGAUUAAUUUAUCUAUAACAUAUUACAGUUUUUACUAUUGAUUGAAUANUUAUUACUUGCAUCUAGUUCAUAUAUUUAUAAUUUGAUGAUUUUCUUUCUAAAUAAAUAAUAAAAAGUAUUGUUAUUCAAUCAAUAGUAAAAACUCUAAAAGAAUUAUAUUUCGGUCAUGCACGAUAUAUUUAUUAUUGAUUAAUUUAUCUAUAACAUAUUACAGUUUUUACUAUUGAUUGAAUAACAAUACUUUUUAUUAUUUAUUUAGAAAGAAAAUCAUCAAAUUAUAAAUAUAUGAACUAGAUGCAAGUAAUAAUUUUAACUCCACAAUUAGGACUACAAACAAGUUUAGGUACUUAAACGAAAUAUUAUUAAAAUUUACAGCCUCAAAUAUUGAAUCUAAAAAUUGAGGACGAAAAUAAAAAUCGUUAGCGUAUAGGAAAUUGAAAGUGUAAUUUACCCAAACUUAAAGGGGCAAAAGUGACAAAGCAUGCUUGCCGCGCCGAUCCUUUUUAUUUUAUUUGUUUAUUCAUUUAAUUAUUAAUUAAUUAAUUAAUUAAUUAAUUAAUUUAGGCUUCACGAAACUUCGGCGACCGAUCAUCCCGCGGGAAUCACGGGCGAGGUGAGCCGUGCGUCCGACACGUGGCGAAAUCGCGGAGGCAAAGCAGGUGAGAUCGUGCGGCUGUUGUCGCUCCGUUCAUGUGCGGAUAUUUCGCGUUGGAUAAUUUGCAUCGAUGUCCUUCAGAUUGCUCAUAAUGACAAAAGAACCCCAAACAUUCUAGCAAUUAAUAAACGGUUAAAAAUAUGUAAAUUGUGCUUAACAUUCCAUACACUAUAGCCGGAGAAAAUGUACCCAGUAAUGCUCGGCCGUACUUUAGCAAAAAAUAUCUAAAAUAUCUGCAACGGCUAAAAAAAAAACAAAUAAAAAAAUGGAAUAUUUUAAUCUUAGAAGUAAAAAACUCCAUGUGAUGCUUUUAAUUUUGAAAGAAGUUAUUAAAUAUAAAUGGUUAAAUUAUAAAAAUUCAUUCUGUAAAUAUCUGUUUUUUUUUAUUUUUACUUCAUAAUGUUUAAAAAUUUAUAUUUUAUUCUUUUAAAAUUUUAGACAUAUUUAUAGAGCAUACAACAUUAAUAAAGAGAGUAAAAGAAUCAAAUUAUCCUUACUCUUUCUAAAUAUAUAUUUUUAAAAUAUUUUUAUCAUUUUUAAACAUAUUUUAAGUAUAAAUUAUAAUAAAUUGACGGAAUAAUAAUUGAACUAUAACAAAGAAAGGCUAAAUACAACAAUUUAGAAUGUUGAGAGGGUAAAAUAUAAGAAGAAAAAAUAAAAAUAAAAAAUAAAUAUUUAUUAUUAGAAGUUUUUUUGUAAUUUAAACAAUAUAUAUUAUUUUAAUAAUUAUUUUAAAGUUAUUAUCAUAUACAUUUAGACGAUACUAAAUUAAACAAUGAUGUAUAUAAUAAUAGAUAAUAGAACAUAUAUCAUAUAAUCAUAUUGUAAGUUAUGCAAAAUUUUAAUUUGUUUAAAAUGUUAAUUAGAUUAUAUGAUCAAAAUUUUAUAUUAUAAGACUCCAAAUAGUCCUAUAUAUAAUAUAUAAUAUGGCUAGAACUCUUAAUCCGGUUUAAGUAUUUUGAAUGGUGGAAGAUCGAAGAGGUUAAGAAAGUUAGGCGUGCUAGGACGGAAAUAGUCAUAGGAUGGGUGACCCCUGGAAAGUUUAACUUGGAGCGUUACACUUUAAUAGUCCUAUACGUUUUCGUAAUUUUUACAGUACUAAAUAUGUUUAUAAAAGUAAAAUAAUAAAGUGUUAAAUUUAAUAUGCAGCUCUCAAACUAUAUAAGACAGGUGGCACUUUAGUCCUAAAACUUUGAUUUAAUUGUAAAGUUUAAUUCAAACUUUCCGUAAGUUUCAUAAUUUAAUUUAGUUGAUUAAAUUUUAGUACAAUUUUGAUAUAAAAAUAAUACUAUAUUUUAAAAUUUAUCGCACAUUAAUUAUAAUAUAUCAAAUAAAUUAGAUUAUAAAAUUUUAAAAAUUUUAAUUAAUUAAAAUUUUAGGGCCAAAAUAUCGCGAGCAUCAUUGUUUGAGGGUCGAAACGUACAACAUGUGUGACGCCCCAACUUCUCAGAGGAUCACCCAUCUUAGAACUAUUCCCGUCCUAACCGUUUGGAUAGGGGAUAAGGGGAGGGAUAACCUCUUAUCCCCCUUUAUACCAAAACACAAAUUUUUUUUAUCCGAGAAUAGUAAUUCUCGGAUACCUGAAAUAAGCUGGUAUAAUUAUUCCCACAAACACCUCUAUUUUCUAUAUAUAACUACCGACUAUUUUUCUUAUACCAUAUUAUUUAUCCAAACGAUAUUUUUCUUAUCCCCGAGAACAACCCAAUUUUCAUACAAACGCUAUUUUUAUUAUCCUCAUACUUGUACCUAUCCCUGUAAUAGCUAGUUCUUGCUUAUACCCGAACCAAACGCUUGGGUCAAGCCACCGGGUUAAUAGCUUUAGUUUUAUUAUAUCUUAUAAAUAGAACUAGCUGGGGUCUCACAUUCUCCACCCUUAAGUCCUGACAACGGCAGGUUGAGACUCAUAAAUAUCAAGCGAUGUGAGACUCGUCUCGCUAACCUAAACCGACCUUGUGAUUAGUUGCACUCCACCCGCAACAGUCAACGCCUAAACCGACCUUGUAGUGAGUUACACUCCACCCAUAACAGUUAACAACAUGAGAGGCUUACUCUCCCCAUUGUAUAAUACUAGUUCAGCCAAGACUCAUCUCAUACUUUUCGGCUAGUAAUUGACUCUAAUACCAUUUGUGAUGCCCCAACUUUCGUCCUACCAUGCUUAACUCUUUUAACCUUUUGAGUCUAACUACCACCCAAAAUACUAAAACUGGCUUAAGUGUUUUAACCCUAUUAUAUGAGGUCUCACAAUAUGCUAAAAUAAAUAAAUAAAGUAAAUAUCAACCGUUCCUAGCGUAAAUGGUAAAAUGCUUGGUAGUUGAUAUCUGAGGCUCUAAAUUCGAAUCCUAAUUUAUUCAUAUUUUCAGCUAAAUUUAUUUUUUAAAAAAAUAAACGGAACAAGUAUUAUGUUAUUUUUCUCUAUGAAAAAAAGUAAAAAUAAAAAAAGGAAAAACUUCAAAAGGAAAAACUUCAAAUACCACCUAUGUGGUUUUGCACCUUUUCACUUUAGUAACAUGUGGUUUAAAUUGUAUCAAUUUAGUACCAUGUGGUUUCGCACUUUCUCACUUUUGUAUCCUGUAGUUUAAAAUACAUUAAUUUAGUUAUUUUUCUCUUUUCGUGAGGUCCUCUGUUAAUAUUUCGUUAAAUUAUAUACAAAAAAUUUCAAAUAUACUAUCUAGGUUUAUCGAAUAUUUACUUUAGUACCCUUUAGUUUUAACUUUGUCACUGAUUUUUUUUCCUUCAAUAUUUCGUUAAAUUAUAUAUAAAAAAUUUCCGAUGCUACCUAGAUUUAUUAAAUAUUCACUUUAGUAACUUUUCAUUGAUUUAACGAAAAAAAUAAUAAAUGAAUAAAUAAGAGAAAAAUAAAAUCACAUAUUACUAACUUGAUACACUUUAAAUUAUAGAAUAUUAAAUUAAAAAAAUAAAAUUAUAAUGUACUUUAAAUUAAGUAGUACUAAAGCGAAAAAUGAAACACACGAGGUAUUUAAAGUUUACUCCAAAAAAAAAAAAAAAAAAAACCGAAAACUCAAAAUUCAAAAAGCGGUCAUCUCGCCGAGCGGCGGGGGCGGGACGUUUCACGUUUGCUUGUGGGAGCACCCGCACCGCCGCUCCCGUGCGGACGCCGCACGUGGUCUCUGACUCCGCAGAGUCACGUGACCCGCACCACGAUCGAAACGUGUUCCUCUCCCCCCCCCACAACGCCGAAUGCGCGCACGUGCCCGGCACGUGCCCCGACGCACCAUCCCUGGUCCCGCCGCCCGAGGCCAACGCCCGGCCAAUAACAAACCGACACGUCACCGGAUUCCCCGCGAUCGCCGUGUGCCUUUUCCGAAGGGGAGCGUAUGCGUUAACUUCCCAAAAUUACAGGAAUGCCCCUGUUUGGGAACGCCCUUAUUCAGGCCGUGGUCUCUCUCUAUCUCUAUCUCUAUAUCUCUCUCUCUCUCUCUCUUCCUAACCAGUAACCACUAACCACCUCCUGGUUAUUAUUUUAUUAGCGUUUUACAAGGGACGGUUGGUUGGUCCGUACGUCCACGUGGCGGAAUCCUAGCGAGUGAGGCCGUUAUCAGGGUAGGAGCUUUUGAGAGGGGGAGAGUGAAAUGACGGAAUUGCCCGCGGUGUCCGGCCCAGAAAUGGUGGGUUUUGGGCAUAUAUAAUAUAAAAAGCGUUUUAAAGUUGUAAUAAAUAAAUAAAUAAAUAAAUAAAUAAAUGGGAUGUCCGCAACGGAGGGAAUUUAAAGACGGAAGAGCGGGGGGAGGGGGGUGGCGACACGAAGGCGGUGGAGUCGUGGAUCACAGCAAUCGCUGCUGCAAUAAUAAUAACAAUUAUUAUUAUUAUUAUUAUUACUACUAUCUGUGGGUCGAUCGGCACAUUCACACUUAGGAUGCAAGCCAAGUCACCUGUGAACAUUGUAAAGAAAGUUUUGCAUACACCUAUGCACAGCCACCCGGGCAAUUUUUGUGCCAUGCACCACAUCAUUAAUUUAACUAUAUAUAUAUAUAUAUAUAUAUAUAUAUAAAGUUGAGCUAUGAUACUUUUACAAGUAUCACCAUCAUAGUACUAUUAGAUUUUAAGCCAUUGGAUCUACUUUUUAAUUAUUAAUAGCCCUUGGAUUAAACAUUAUUUCACCUACCACCACCUACCAUCAUCAUCUCAACCUCACAUCUCUCCAUCUAAGGGCUAAAAACACACAAGUAUCACCCCCAUGAUACUUUUACAAGUAUUCUAGCCCUACUCUAUAUAUAUAUAUGUAUGAUUCCGGCUAUUAUACUUUUAUUAGUAUAAGCUCUUUUUUAUUCAUAAAUUUUCAGCCGUUAAAUCUACCCCUUUGAUUAUUUUCAUCUGUUAUAUUAUGCUAUUUAACUAACCAUUCACUCAACCCUAUAGAACUAUUAUUAUCCAAAUCGAAAAGCACUAUUAUCCUAUUAUCCUAACCACACAUUCCUUCAUCCAAUUGCUGUAAUCUUAUAAGUAUAAAAGGAUCUAUACUUAUAAAAAUAAGAGUAUAGUAGCCUAGCAUAUAUAUAUAUAUAUAUAUAUAUAUAUAUAUAUAUAUUGCUAGGCCUCGGUAAUACUAUUGGUAGUAUGGAGGCCCCGUACUACCAAAUCGUUUUAAUGAUGUAACUUCUAAAUCGAUGAUCGGUUCCGUUAGACUUGAUCGUUACAUAUUAAAAGUAUUUAGAAACUAAAUUUCAUCAUUGUUCGACAUCAUUUGGCUAGUUGAUAAAAAGUAUUAAAAUUGACAUUUUAAUAAUCAUGUGAUGCAAUUUUUAAAUUUAAAUUUUUUAUCAUUAUUUUUAAUGAAAUUUUUAUAAAUUUUUUUUUUACUAUUUAAAGUAAGAUUAGUACCUCUGAACUUAAAUUUAAGUCUUUUAUCAUCAUUUUUUAGGAAAAACUUCAAAAACCGCCCUUGUGGUUUCAAUUUUUUUCACUUUAGUACCAUGUGGUUUAAAAUGUAUCGAGUUAGUACCCUGUGGUUUCUCACUCUAUCACUUUAGUACCCUUUGGUUUAAAGUGUAUCAAGUUAGUGCCCUGUGGUUUUGCACUUUAUCAUUUUAGUACCCUGUGGUUUUAAUUUUGUAUCAAGUUAGUACUCUGGAGUUUUUUAAAUCACAGGGUACUAAAGUGAUAAAGUGCAAAACCACAGGAUACUAACUUGAUACACUUUAAACCACAAGGUACUAAAGUGAUAAAGUGAGAAACCACAGGAUACUAACUUGAUAAACUUUAAACCACAGGGUACUAAAAUGAAAAAGUGUGAAACCACAUGGAGGGUUUUUGAAGUUUUUUCCAUUUUUUAUGAGAUUUUUAUUUUCAGCCAUUCAUUUUUAGACUACUCGUUUGAUAGGUAAAUAAUAUUAAAAAAUAAUGAAAUUUAGUUUCCAAAUUUUUUUAAUAAUGUAGAUCAAAUCUAAUAGAGCUGAUUGUCGAUUUGGAAGGUAUAUCAUUAAAAAUAACUUGGUAGCACAGAGACCUUCGUGCGACCGAUAGUAUACAAGUUUAGUUCUCUCUCUCUCUCUCUCUCUCUCUAUAUAUAUAUAUAUAUAUAUAUAUAUAUAUAUAUAUAUAAUACACCGGGUGUAAGAGUAUAGACAAAGAUCAUCAACAUUUCCCAACAUCUGAGGGGUGCAAUCGCAAAGUCCACGUGGCGACACGGGGGAAAGGGAGGCUCUAAUAAUUCUCCUUCUCCUUCCAACCACCCUUCCCACUCCGCGCAGUAAUAAUUCGGGGGCACAUCGCGUGAUGUAGCUGUCGAGUAUAUGCUGUACUCGGGUAUCGUUGUGAUCGAGAAGGAAAUUAGGCCUCAUAUAGCUUGCGAGACAAGCUGAGUGAAACGGGGAAUAUAUAUGUCGUAGUGUCGUACGUGUCAACUUUCCUUAAGUUUCUUACUCUGGUUUCAAAUUUUUUUAAUUUAAUUUGACAAAUUAUAGAUUUUAAUAUAAAUUAUUAUUAAUUAUAUUUAUAUUUAUAUAUUUGAUAAAAAGUACGAUCAAAUAUAUAAAAUUAAAUGCUAUUAAACCUUCAAAUUACUUUUUUGAAUAAGUUUAAUUAUCCGACAUCAAACAUGACCUAAAUAGAAACCGUCAGAUGAACAAAAAAUUUAUAGAAAUUUUUUUUUUUAAUCGUACGCUAAAGUAGAUGCAACCGACAAUUCUCUAGUUGGAGAUAAAAACUAAAACAAAAGUCAUUGACAAAAUAAAAUUUGAAACGGUAAACUAAAAAAAUGUGGACAAAUUCAAGUGCGAGUUAAAGUUUAUGGACUAGAGUGCAAUUAUAGCCAAUGGGGAUGGGGUGAGUGAGCAACGGGGUUGUUGACCAAGGUCGGGUCCAGGGGCGGGUGCGUUAGGUCAAGAGACAAAUAGAACACCGCUUCCCACGGCAUGUGGCGGGUCGUCUUGGCGUAAAGACCUGGGCUUCUCAAACUUACCCUCGGGUCAAAAUUCUACUGAAACGCCCCUCAACAAUACCCAUCCCCAACAUUGGUACGUUUUUUAAAUUAAAUAUUUUUUGUUAUUUUGGAAUUUUAUGAGUAUUCGAUCUCUUUUCUGAAUCUAAUAGUUUAUUAAUUAUCUACUAUUAUUACUCUUUUAGUAAAUAGAAGUGUAAGAUUUUUAACAGUUGCUUGGUAACGGAUAAAGUAUACUAAAAUUAUUUACGAGGAGUAUAUUUAAAAAAGAAUUAAUAGAAAAAUAAAGUGAAGGGUGUGUUUUAAAAAUAGUAAAUAGUUGGGGGGCUCUCAGUAUUUUUUGUCACCUUCAAUAUAUGCCGAGUAGAAAACGCCCAUCGCCGUUGGGAAUCGCUUGCCUCCAUCCUUUUUCCCACCCGCUUCCAAUUACUUACUGAGGAAACAUACAAACGCAGGGAGAGAAAGAGAGAGAGAGAGAGAGAGAGAGAGAGAGAGAGAGAGAGAUUAGGGUUUCGUAGAGGGGAAACGAAUCCGUUACAUCUCCUCGAUCGAUCGAGGGAAGAGAAAGGGAGCGGUAGAUCUCGAAUCGAAGGAGAAAAAUGGAGUGGAGGGGGAGCUUGGAGGAGCUUAUGAAUCGAAUGAACAACCCCAGGUUCGUAGCAUCUUUACUAGUUGUUGUAGUUCGCGAUCCAUGUGAUGAUCCCCUUCGUUGUCUUCUUCCUCGGAUUUGCUCCUUGAGCCCUUGCCAUGGCUCCGAUUUGAGCCCUUCCUUGUCGAUUCUUUGCUCGCAGGGUCGUUAUCGACAAUGCCGUGUGCCCCACCGCCACCCUCAUCAAGGUACGCUCCGAUCGAACCCUAGAUUAGCAGAUUUGGAGAAUAAGCCUUUAGGAUUCGUCGAGUUAUGCGGUGUUGUUUGUUAUCCUUAUUCUACAGGUGGAUAGCGCGCGGAAGCACGGGGUGUUGUUGGAGGCGGUGCAAACCCUAACGGACCUCGAUCUCUCGAUCCACAAGGGCUACAUCUCCUCCGACGGGCGCUGGUUCAUGGACGUGUUCCACGUCACCGAUCGCUGCGGCCGCAAGCUCACCGACGCGCACGUCCUCUCCUGCAUCGAGCACUCGCUCAACACCCUCGAAAGCGGCUUCGUCGGCGGCGGCGGAGGAGGGGGCGGCGGCGGCGGCGCCGGAGAGGCGGAUGUGGGUGACUUGACGGCGGUGGAGCUCACGGGGGCCGAUCGCCCCGGUUUGCUCUCGGAGGUGUUCGCGGUGCUCGCGGAUCAGCGGUGCGACGUGGUGGAGGCGAAGGCGUGGACGCACAACGGGCGCAUCGCGGCGCUGGUCCUCUUGCGGGACGCUGACUCCGGGUGCCCCGUUCCGGCCGACGCGCACCGCGUCGCCCGCGUCGAGGCGCGCCUCCGCAACGUGCUCCGCGGCUCCGGCGAUCGCGACCGCGACCACCAAGGGCGGGGUGCGCGAGCGCGCGUCUCCUCCGCCGCCCCCGCGGCGCGCGCCACCGCCUCCGAUCGGCGCCUCCACCAGCUCAUGUUCGCCGACCGCGACUACGAGCGCCGCGGCGGCCCCGGCGCCGGCGCGAGGGUGAGGGUGGGGGUGGAGAGCUGGGGGGAGAGGGGGUACUCGGUGGUGACGGUGGAGUGCCGGGAUCGGCCGAAGUUGCUCUUCGACGUCGUGUGCACGCUCACCGACAUGGAGUACGUCGUCUUCCACGGCACCGUCGACACCGACGCCGAUCGAGCUCACCAGGUCACCCCUCCUCUUCAAUUGUUUUCUUUUCGUUUAUUGGGUGCCAAAUUUAAAUUGGAUUAAAAUCUGGGUUUUUCUUGGGUUGAUGUGCUGCUAAUAAUUUGAAUAGGGUUACUAUUAGAGAUUUUCUUAUUUUUUUGGGUGAAAAUUUGAUGGAGAACCAGUCAACUAUAAGCCAUUUUGUAAUAAUAAGUGCAGCUCCUCAACUGCUUUUCAGUUUGGUUGGAUACAUUAAAAUUGGUUUAUUCUUAAUUUUUCUUGUUGAUUUGGUGCUAAUUUGAUUUCAUAUUGGGUUCCUUCAACUUUUCCUUUUUCUCCUUUUUUUUUUUGGGAAAAAUGCCAGAAGUUUUUAAUUUUAGGCCAUUUUUGAAAUAGACAGAUCCCUUAGUCCUUUUUUUUUUUUUAAAAAAAAUUCUCUAUUUUUAUGGAACUCGAUUCACUUGUAGGCCACUCUGUUCUAGUUCUUAUUAUUAUUUUAAUUCGAUUUUGUUUUAUAAUUAAUCGCGAAUUUGCUGAAAUUAUUCUAUUGGCUAUGAUUCUUCAACUGUCUACAAAAUUUGUAGUGAGAAAGUCCUCACGGCUAACUAAAUUUAAUUCAAGUGGUUGUGAAUUUCUUAAAAUUUUAUAUGUUAUAGAGGACAUUAUUUUGAAUUAAUAGAGUCCAAAGCUGAUCCGGCGAGUUGAACGGUCAGUUUCAAAAUGGUUGCUGGGUUCUCUGUAGAUGUUUACCUUUUCUGUGGGCCGCGAGAAAUGUGGAUUAAUCUAGAUUUUUUGUGGUGAUUUGAAAUUUGAAAUUUGAAAUUUAAAAUUUGAAUUGUUUUCUUUGUUUUCAUUGUUCACAGGAGUUCUACAUUAGGCAUUUAGAUGGGAGCCCCAUCAGCUCAGAAGCUGAGAGGCAACGCGUUAUACAGUGUUUACAAGCAGCAAUCGAACGCAGACAAUCGGAGGUAUUUUUCUUUUCCUAGAUCUCUUUUACAAAGAUAAAUGGUAAAGGAUGUAGUGGGACCACCUCACCUCAACUAUAUGCCUUUCUGAUAUAAACCCUCCAACUAUCUCUCUUUAAAUCUUAGAUCUUCUCAAUUUUUCAUUUUUUUUAUUGUUAUUUUUAUCAAGUAAAUUCGAAAUUUUGCUAAAUUUGUUUAGUAUAUCUUUGAAACGGUUUGUAUCAGAUUGCAGUGUGGGUUUGAUUCUUGCCGUUAACAUUAAGUCGACUUAAUCUGCAUCUCUUUUCUUAAUUGGAUAACAUUUCUAGACUCCUCCCUUUUUCAGAAGAGUGUUAGGAGGAUGAAACUGCAGAUUUAGGUAACUCUAUCUAAUUCAAUUUAGAAAUUAACUUAAAUCAAAGUAGUACUGAGUUGUUGCAGUGUCAAUUGAAGUAGAAAAUAAUGGAAGAGUAUUUGAAAAAUUACUCGCUGUUCAUGUGGUUCCUUAUACCACAUGUUUACCAUGAUAAAUUUGCCAGAGACAUCUCAUUUCCGUUGACGCUUCUCGGUGUUCCGGUGCAGGGUGUAAGGCUGGAGCUACGCACUGUAGAUCGGAGGAGACUCCUCGCUGACGUGACGCGGACAUUCCGCGAGAACGGACUCUCUGUGACGCGUGCGGAUGUGACAACGAAGGGGAAGAUGGCCGUGAACGAGUUCUACGUGACGGACACGAUGGGUAACUCGCCAGAUCCCAAGAUCAUCGAUGCAGUUAUCAAGAGAAUUGGCGAGGAGAACCUCCACGCCGGGGAAGAGGAGCGCUUGUCCCGGUUAUACUCCACCCGCGACGGGUCCAGCGCCUCUGCUGGGCUCUUCCAACUAGGUUCCUUGGUGAGGAGGAACCUCUACUAUCUGGGCCUCGUCAAGUCCUGCUCCUAGAGGCGAGGAACUGUUAUCUGGACCUAAGUCCACCGCUCAGCCUCAGACCGCCUAGCGAUAUAUAAACUUUUAUCCGAGUUUUCUCUUCAGUCGAGAAGUUGCAACUAGGUUCUCAAUGUCUAUUAGUUAUUUCAAUUAAGUCUCUUCCGCCAAAAAUUUGAAUAAUUCAGGCAGAAGUUGUCGUUGGUCGGUGAAUGCAGAUACCAUUGACAACUUUUGUCCGAAUUAAUGAAAUUUUUAGACGGAAAACGACUCUGUUGAAAGAAUUAAUACAUAUUAAGGAUCUAAUUGGAAUGCCUAAUCUUGGAAAACCUGGGGGCGAAUGGUAUGAUUUGUCCUUUACUAAAAAGUAGGUCGUGAUUGAUGGCAGAUUACUAGUUGGUCUGCCCCAGGCUGGCGGUGGAUAAGAUCUAGAGGACGGGUUCUCUCCUACAGGGUGGUGUAUUUUGUUGCACAUAUGCCUCUCCCUCCCCAUACUCCCGCUUGGAUAUGAUCCAAGGUAAUGCAUUGUUGUACAUAAAAUUAGGUUCUAGUUUUUAGUUGGGGGGGAAUGAAGGAAGGGGAUUGAUAUCUCACUAUUGUUGUUAUAAGCGUUGGUCUAUGGUUGGGUAGUUGCUAGUGUUUGUAUCUCUCCUUUGUUACAAAAACUCACAUUACUGUCACACGCACCAGCACACAUACAGGAAGGAGUACUGUAGACUUUGUACAUAUACCAUACCUGAUGAUAUUGAUAGCUACAAAUAUUGUUUGACUACCCAAAAUAUUAAAUUCUCUAUCUCUCUCUCUCUCCUCUGUGUGGUACUGUUUCUAGAUUUCUAGAAUCUUUUUGGGUUUUCUUGUGGUCUACUUGUAUUUGCCUGGUCAGAUUAAGGUGGGGUCUUUACUUAAACCCAACAACAUAAACCAACAGCUUGGCACCUACCUCACCUGCCUAUGUACGAAUGAAAACCAUUGUGAUUGGUACCGAGUUUGGAGGGGGUUAGUAGUUGUGUGUUCAAUAACCAGGAGAAUUAGGAGUGGUAGAUCACCGACCACAACAAUGACGACGGUGAUGAUGCAAUUAAACUUAUUUCUUUUUAAUGAUCACUAAUCCCUUCGAAUUAGAGAAAGCGACGGGCGGGUGGUUGUAGCGCCUGUAGGGAACAAAGUGUGCGUUGAUGCCGCUGUUCUCGGCCGAUCGGACCGACUAAUCGGCGUUGAAUCGCGCAAACCCUUUUCUGUAAUCCGUUGUCUUUUUCUUUAAUGACAUUAUUAGUAGGGUUGAAUUUUGUUGAUGUUUCUGGAGAACGAUAUAAUCGGCAUAAAGAAUUGUAAAAAAUUAAGACAUGGUAUUUUAUUAGAUGGUUCUGGGACAGCAUGCAUGCUCUGGAAUUGAAAUGAAUGGUAAAAUUUAAACUUUCCCUCCCUUUCGUAGCAGGUAUUCUUCUCAUUAUGGGGCAAGGGAUUUGAAGAUGAUAUAGUAUGAAUCCUAUUCCACAAGCAAAAGCUAAGUAUUUAAUACUAAAUAAAAAAGUCAACUCUUUUACGGGCCCAUAAAAAGCGAGAGGUUUCAGCUAAUCUGAAUUUGAAUUAUGGAAAAUUGUGGGAUUUAUUAGGACCCACCUGCAACUGAACACAAUUGUUUGAAUGGCUCGAUAAAGGGAUUAAAAAGAAGGCUCAUAUUUGAAAGCUAAUAAAAAAUAAUAAUAAUAACUCCCACCAAAAAAUAUUUCUAUGAUAUGAAAUGGUUUAGUAGUACUAGUUUUAACACUCAUAUUUAUGUGACUGUUAAAGACAUAAAUAAUAUUUGAUGGAAAGAGAUAUAAUAGACAAAAAUAUGUGCCGUAAAAUAAUGAGUGUGAAAAUCAAACCAAGAUCUUAGGAUUUGCCAUGUUGUUCUGUUCUCUUACCUAUAAAUUUUGUCUAGGAGCCAAACCAAAAAGCCAGAAAAUUUUGCCUUGUGCACUUAAUUUAGGGUUUGUGCUUCAUCGUAUGGUUUAAAAUAAUAGAACCCCAAAGGGUAUUAUUAAAGUAAUAUUUACUAUUUCUUUUACGCUUGAGAUAGUAAAUAUUUUUUUAGCAAUACCAUUCCCAAAAAGGAAACACAUAUUUUAGUAAUUCUUUUUAAUGGAUAGAAAAGCAUAUCCAUUUUUGGGUUAUAACACCUAGGUUUCUUCUGGUAGCGUUUGGUUCGGAAAUAAGGAGGAGAAUAAGCCCUUGUUCCCCCCUUUGUUACCAAACGCAGCGUUUGGUAUCCGAGAACAGUAGUUUCCGGGUUUCUGGAACUAGCUGGUAUAAGACUGGAACUGACUAGAACUGCUGUUCCACCUUUUUCCUGGAACAAGCUUGUUCCCGAAUGAGAACAAGGUUAAUUAAAUCUAAAUUUAAAUUUUAAUGAUAGUAAAUUAUUAAUUAAUCUAAUUAAUAUAUUUGAAUUAUUAUCUAUUGCUUAAAUAAUAAAAUAAAUAAAUAAUUAAUUAAUUAUAAUUAAUUAUUUAUAAUUAGAUAAUAAUAAUUAUUAAUUUAAUAAUUAUUAUUUAUUAAUAUUUAUUAAUUAAAUAAUAAUUAUUAAUAAUUAUUAUUCUUAAGAAAUAGAUAAUCGAUAUUAUUAUUAAUUUAUUAUUUAUAAUUAAUUAUUAAUAAUUAGAUAAUUAUUAUUAAUUAAUUUAUUACUUAUAAUUAAUUAUUAAUAAUUAGAUAAUUAUUAUUAAUUAAUUUAUUACUUAUAAAUAAUUAUUAAUAAUUAUUAAUAAUUAAUUAAUUAAUUAAUAAUUAUUAAUAAUUUAUUAAUAAUUAAUUAAUUUAUUACUUAUAAAUAAUUAUAAAUAAUUAAUAAUAAUUAAAUAAUAAUAAUAAUUAAUAAUUAUUAUUAUUUAUAAUUAUUUAUUAAUAAUUUAUUUAUUAUUUAUUUUUAAGUAAUAUUUUGAUGUUAAUUAAUUAGAUAAUAUAAUUUUAAUUUCAAAUUAUAACUUUUAUACCUCUCGUUCCAAUUUAACUAUCCAAACGCUAUUUACCUUAUUCCUAGGAACAACUCAAUUUUCAUCCAAACGCAACAUUGGUCUAGUUCCUGCUUAUACAUGAACUUGUACCUAUUCCUGGAACAAGCAAUUCUUACUUAUAUCUGAACCAAACGCAGCCUCUGAGUAUUUCUUUAUGUUAUCUUCUUAUUACCUUGUGCUUAUGCGCAAAUUUUAUUUAUGAAUAAUUUAUACGCAGGAACUCCUACUUUUCAGACUAUUUUAAGAGAAUAUCUAACUUUGUGAAAUUGCACAGCUUUAAACUUUUCUUGUUAUAAAAUGUCCUACUCAAAAUCUUACAAAAAAUUCAAAUAAAGAUUUGCCAAACAUUCAAAAAUUUCAUAAAUUUAAUAACUCUGUUAGAUGUUAAUUAAUAAUUAUUGCAAUUUAAUUUGCUAAAAAGUGAUUAAAAUAACUAAAUUUGGUAAAAUCUUUGAUUUAGUUGAUGAAGCUUACUUAAUUACGAAAAUAAAAAAAAAAAUUGAAGUUGAGGGGUCCAUUCCAAACUGUCCCAUUGGUACGUGAGUUGGAUCUUCAUACAUUGUUACGUAAACAAUAAUAUAAGAAAAAAAUUUAAAAGGCAAAACCCACCCAAGCACGUGAUCACUCUAAAAAAAUAAAAAAAAAUGGCCAAUCACGUCAAGUUUUAUUAUACGAAUGCAAAACGCCUUAAAAAUUUCAAAAGAAUUUCAAAUUUUAUAUUAAAUAAAUAUAAAUUAAAAACCUAAUUUAUAAUUUUAAUUAAAAAUAGGAGUAGAGCUACUAUGCUAUCGGAAGUAUAAAGUGGUUGGUGCUUCCGAUUUUUUAGUUCUUAGAUCAACUCCAUUGAUAAUUUCUAACUAUUGGAUUAAUAUUAUUAAUCAAUGAGGACCAUUCAACCCUAGGAGGAUAACUCAACCCUAAGGGGAUGGCUAUCAUCCCAACUGUAGAAUUUUUAAUCCAAGGGCUAAAAAUUCGGAAGCACCAACUAUUUUAUACUCCCGAUAGCAUAGUAACUCUACACUUAAAAAUAUGAUAAGUUCGUAGUCGAGUUAAAAUAUUUCUAAUAGCAUGUGAAUAAUAGAUGCUACUAAGUUUUUAAUCCUUCUUAGUGUCUAAGGUUUAUCAUUGAGUGAUAGUACCGGUAAAGAUUCGAGAGCUUUAAAAAAUUCAUACCGACCGUUCUAGAGCAAGUGGCAAAGGGCUUGGUGGUUGGUACCCGAUACCCAAGUUCGAAUCCUAGUUGAUUCACAUUUUCAGCUAAGUUUAUUUCUAAAUGAAAUAAACGAAACGGGUAGCAUGCUACCUAUCUCUCAAAAAAAAAAAAAAAAAAUCAUAAUAUGUAUUGUUUAUAUACUAUUAGAAGCAUCUAAGAUAGACUCUAUUAUAAGUUUUAAUCUAGUACGAUUAGCAAAUUUUUAGAAAGUUUAUUAUUUUAUAGUUUAUAUUUUGUUUCAUCAUGAAACAUGCAAUAAAAUAAAUUAGAAACGUUUUGUGCUUAAGAAACCAUAGACUUUGAAGAUGAAACUCCAUAGAACGGUAUUGAAGAAGUUAACCCCUAAUUUUUUAUACUAUGGGCUUAGUUUACUAUACAAAUAAAUAAAUAAAUACAUAAACAAAUAAAAAGCAAUGAAAUAAUGGCCUAGUCAUGGAUUAGAACAAAUGCCCGGUCCAACUGGUGUCCACGUGGCUGCUUAUAAUUGAAGUGUUACAACCAAUAAUUUAAUACAAAUAAUAAUUAAAUAAAUUAUGCGAUAAUUUUAACAAAUAAUUGAAUAAAUUAUUAUUCAAGAUGCCACCACAAGAUCUAGGUUCCCCGCUGAGAUCCUAGGUAGCUAAUUCGUUAUUAAAAAAAAAAUAAUGCUAUCUAUACAUCUGAAAAUAAGAUUUACAUCUUACCUUCACUUCAUCACAAAAUUAUUAAUAUUUUACUUGUCACAUCAUUCAUUUUUUUUUAUUGUACAAAAAAUCAUUUGACAUAGGUCCUCCUUUUUUCGUAAUUACAUUUGGAAACUUUUAAAAUCUUUUAUCUAUUACUUUGAUCAGUAAUUUUUUCAAAUUUUGCAACUCAAAUAGCCACAAGAUUGAAGGAACUACGUGUUCAAUUACUAAUGAGUAAUACAUCAAUACACCACGUAAAUCUUGACCAUUUAUUUUUCUAAAUAGAUGGUUGAGAUGUAAUAUGAUUUUAGAGGUGACCUACUAUUUAGGCAUAGGUACCAUUCACCAGGCACCUAUCUAAAAGGUAUUUUGGUCUUAGAAAAAUAUUUUAGUCUACAAAACCGGUUUUAUCCAACUAAGAAUACUAUAACCUUCUCAAAUAUCUACAACAAUAGUUGGAAUUCAAAUUACAACUAAACUGUAAAUUUAAAUGCAAAACAACAUAAAAAACUUAAUUAUAAAUUAAAUUCAACUUUUAAAUAUAAAACACAAAUUUAAAAUAAAACUGUAAGUUCAAAUUCAAAUUUUAAUUUAAAUCAAAAAUUAAAAUUUGGCUUUCAGAUUAAAAGUACAAUAUAGAUUCAAAAUUUAAAAGUUUAAUAUAAAUUUUGAAAUUAAAAUUUUAUAUUACAAUACCAACUACAAAACUUAAAUUUAAAUCAAUAUUUUUUUGAGUUGGAUACUAAACAAAUAGAGUAUUAUCUAAUUUGGAAAGUAACAAAACUAAAUAAAAUACUUAAUAUUAUAGGAUGCUAACAAAUUUGGUAUAUGCUACUAAUUUUUUUUCAAUAUUGUCAUAUUAACUAAUUCAAAUCGGUAACCUGUUCAAUAGGUUACUUUAUGUAAAAUUCAACUAUACCCUUUACUAAUUAAGAGUUUGAUUUUAAUACUUAUGGUGUAAUGAAGCAUUGCUCAUUACUAAUUAUCAAAUUUCAAAUUGAAGUUCUUAACUAAAAAUAAUUUGAUUAAAAUUUAAAUUUAAAUUCUAAAAUUCAAAUUUAAAUAAAAAUAAAAUGUAGAACUUUAAAUUUAAAUAUAAAGUCAUAAAUUUAAAUUUAAAAUUUUCUGUUGAAUUAAAAUUUUAAUUUACAAAUAAAAUUUAAAAUAUGAUCAUAAUUUUAAUUCAAAUUUAAUUGAAAUUGAACUUUAAAAAUAAAUUUAAAUAUUAAAGUUAAGAAUAAAUAUAAACUCUUACCUAAGUUUUUCAUUCGUACUGACUUUCGAAUUUUUUGAGCCGAAGUAAAAAAAAAAAAAGUGAGAUUUAGGUAUAAUUUACUUUAUCAACGUACUUUGGCAAAGUGAUUUUUAUAUUCAAUUUCGUAAACCAAAUAAUCGAUAAGACGUUACUUUUUAAAAAUAUUAUUUUCGAUGUUUCACUCUUUGGUGAACCAAAUAUGUCCUUAGCUUAAGUCUAUAGUGGAAGUGCGCAGCAAUUGGCGUUAAUUGUUGGAAUAAUAAUACGUGGUGGUUGUGACGACACUUUGAGCACGUCAUCUUUAGAUUUCCUACCACAUUCCUCCACCACACCACCACCACCACCACCACCAUUAAAGAAUCUAUUACUUUUAAACAUAUAUGCUACACACAAUGGUCCACACAAAAUGCCUUUUAAUUAAAUGGCUAUUUAUUAUAUAGUUAUUUGGCAAUUUAACUUAUUGCAUCAUUAAUGCUUUAUAAACAUAUAAGUUUUUUUUUUUUGUUUUGAUAAAAGUUCCUACCAAAUAUCAUUCUUGGGAAUCUUCAUUAUUCAAUCAGCUGUUUCAAUUCUAACCCUUCUUUUCGCAAAUUUAUUCAUAUAUAAAUAUCAUAUGUACGUACGUCUCUUGCGCAUCAUUAUAAUAUUGCUUAUCCUCUCCAAAUAACCAACACUACAAAUUUAAAACAAUAUGCCUGUAGUAAAGAUAAACUAGCGAAAACGCAACCCGCGCUUCGCGGCGGUUAAUUAGAUUAGCAUAAAUUUAAGCAGAAAGUAAUAUAACAUAUAUUAUAUAUAAAUAUAAAUCCACAUAUAAUCCUUCACAUAAUAGGGUGCCUAAAAAAUUAAGCAUGAAAUAAUAUAAAAUAUAUUGCAAAUUCAGCAUGGGGCAUCAUUUGGAAUGAGGGAAUGCGUUAUCAAAACAAAGUCAAAGCAUAAAGCACACAGUAUUAUAUGAACCGACUUAAAGACUCAGUAGACGUGACAUUCAUUAAGAGUGAGUAGUUAAGCAAGAAGGAAAGUACAUCCAUUAUGCUACAAGUAAGAGUUGAGGGAGGAAGAAACACAACUAAUUAAGUGGAGACAAAAUUUUAAAAAAGUACACAGCAUUGUAACUGAUACUGCAAAGCCAUGCGCAAAAUGCCUUGUGAGCACAAAACAUGGUAUCAAAAGGUAGCACCAGCAUUUAAGAAGCUUUAGUAAUUAAGCCAACGGAUUCGACAGAGCAUCAGAUUCAUUAGCUGUAGUAGCAGAUGGAACAACAUCAAGGUGGUUUACAAUGGCGUAGCACUCCUCAAUGGCAUGAUGUAUCUUGACGCGUUCAAUCACGAAUUUAUUUUUUUGUGCAAUUGUAGAAAUAUAGCAUUCCUUUAGGAAGUCAGACUCUUGAGCGAGGUUAGUGCACUGUGCAAACAACACUGCAUACUCCAUAGUAAGAUGAUCAUAUAAACUCUUGUAGAAGAUACUGUUGUCAUAAUUAACAUCUUUGAUAUGCAAAUCGCAUUCAUCCGUGAGUCUCUUAAUCGCAAUACGGGUAGCAUCUUGCUCAGCCCAGAGAGACAUAAGGGAUUGUGCACCCCAGCACCGGAUAAUUUCAGCUGCAGACUCACUGUAAGGAAUCUGCAAAUCUAUAUAUGUAGCCCAGAAAGUUUCCCUCAGCAUCCAUUGUUAAUACACACUAUGGUACCUCGAGCUGAAGUUGUUCGUAAACCUCACGGAGCAAUCUAGUGUAAGAUAGCUGCACAGUUGACAUCGGAACAACUGCAAGAAGAAGGAAGCAAAAUUUUGCCAUGGAAGAGUUAUAUAUAGAGCAGAAAAGGCCGUGAUAAAAAAGUGCCCACAACCACUCUAUAAUUCACAAAUGAGAAAUUUAAAUCAAAAGAAACUGAAAUCUGUAUUCGAAACAUUUUUUCAAUCUAAAAAAAUCUUGAAAGAAGACCUGAUUCUAUAAAUCGAGAAAAAAUGCUUGAUAGAGAAAGAAGGAACAAAUGUGUGCAAAAAAUAAAGAGGUUAAGGUGUUAUUUCCGAAGGCAACGCCCAGCAGAACCGUCAUGCUGGAAAUAGACAGCGUAAGUCGGUAAAUAAAUAUAAUCAAUACAUGGAACACUGACUUAGCAGGAAAAGCAACAUCGGCAGAUGGUUGCCUAAGAUCAGGCCAUCCAAAUCUGUUCAUGCAAAACUAUUCUCUCCAGUAGAUGGUUGCCUGAGACCAGGCCAUCCAAAUCUGUUCUUACCAAGCUGUUUUCUGUUUACCGACAAUCAUCAUCGCCUCAAGAAGUCGAGAAAAAGCUAAAGAUGGAAAUAGCGAAGAGUGAAAAAGGAUAAGUUGAAAGCUAAUAUGUGAAAGCAAAUCAGGUUAAAACAAAAAAACUAAAAAAUUAGUGUAACAGAAAAAAAAAACGUUUAAAAGAAAGAGUAGAGUGGAGAGUUCUUUGCAUAGCGUAUUAACAAAUAAGGAGGAAAAUAAGAAUUUACAAUCUGAAAGGGAAAAGUAAGUAGAAAAAUAUUAAAAGAUAGAGAAAAGUAUAUAAAUGCAAAUCAGGAACAACAACAAUAAAAUCAGAUUCUAAAAUCAACACCAAGAAGCACAACUAAAUCAUAUAUAUAUAGAGAAAAAGAAUAGAGAGAAGGAAAGCUUUCUUCUCAACUCCUGAACAUAUAGGGGUACAACAAACUCCUGUUCAUUUAGCAAGUAUAUAUGUACAUGGAACAACUUACACACAACAAUAAUAACCCCUAUUAAUUCAGCACCAAUAGAGUGAAAAGGGCAAAACUGAGAAUAAUUGUCACCAACGCCAACACAAAUACAUAAAUGUUGAAUCACUAAUAGGCCAUAAAAUAACUCGCAGAUAAUCAUUCACAACUAAUAGAUCAACAUCAAAUAUUGAAGCAAAUAUCUUUAUGAUCAAGUAAUGCAUAGUAAGCUAUUAACAUACAGACUGAAAAAUCAAGAAUAACCAAAUAAUUAUAGAAAAAAAAAUGGAGGUGUAUACUAAGCGAUGCGCAAACAGUGAAAACCGUAGCUGAACCGGCAUAGUUAUAGAUUUUUCAGCAAUAAGCACAUAAGCUGUCACAGCCCAUUCCCUUUCCUCUUCUAUCUCCACAGAACCAGGGGCCACGGCCCCCAAAUCCACCGCGACUCCCGACGGUGCACGGCGCGCUGCUACCGGCGCAGCUACCGCGGCCUGUUGUGUCAACAACUCAUGGAGCUCCUUGAUCUGCUCUUCCUGUCGUUGCACUACGUCCGUGAGUGCGUUCAACUGCUCGCGGAGCACCGGGUCCCCGCUCGCCUCGGCUUGCUCAGGGACACCACUUGCCCCGCCCCGCGCCGACCUGGAUGAAGAUCGCCUGCGCGGUGCCAUCGCUUCCUGAAACAGGACAACUCGAUUAGCUCUCGACCCUCAGGGUCAAACACGAAACCAUUAACACGACUCAAAAGUCAAUCAGGCGAAAGUCAUGCGAGGGCGUCUAUUCUCAUCGCUCGGUUUCAUGUUGUCGCACGCCAACAUGAACUCCCUUGAUUGAGAAUAAAGCACACCUCGAGUCUACCUCUAAUAUCCGUCUUAGAGGUUAAUAACACAACCCAAUCCAUAAUCCUUUCGCCGCACGUCUCAAGUCCUCGUCUCUCACGAGCCUUAACCUCUAUGGUUUUACUAUCCUAGGGUCUCCUAGGUCAUCUAAACCAUUUUCCCAUUCUCUACUUUAUGCUCUGAUACUAUCUACUGUCACGCCGCGACCUCGGCCAAAUAGGCGGGUGGUCGCGGGCUGUGACAUAAGCAACAUCCACCAACAGUAAGAACAGUCAGAAGUGGUUGAUUGUGAGUAGCCCAUCCAAACUUCCACUUAUUCCAACCCAACAUUUUCCAUAUUUUCCCCUAUUUAUCAUCAUGGCCUCAAAGAAAAUACAGAAAAAUGAGAAGAAAUGAAAGGAAAUAAAGUAAUAUUGGUAAAAAUAACAGCAUAUUGAAGGCUGGAAUAAAAGAAGAGAUGGAACAAAUAGCUCAAAAUAUUUAAACUUGAAUGGUUCAACAGAAGCAUAAAUUUUAAUACUACGACAAAAUAAAAGUAAUAUAAAAUUUAAACAAUUUUAAAAAAUAUGCACAAAAAUGUAAGGCUCAGGUAAGUUGAAUCGGCAAUACCGCUCAUGAGUACAGGGUAGUAAUAGGAGCAGUGGAUUACUAAGAGUAGCUAAUGUGCAACCAGCGAGAAUUAUAACCGAGCAUGCAUAGCUACAGUUUAACUUUCUUGCUAUCUCUAAUGUUCUUGCCAUUUAAGGGAGAGGUCAUCACAGCAUUGAGAAAUAAGAGCAAAAGAAUAGUAAGCGGAAAAAGUAAUAAUUAAUAAGCAUUCAAAAACAACAGUAAUAGAUAAUUAAGAAUCAUGAACUAUGACCAUGAAAUUUUCGAUAAUGAAUAAUCUGCAACACAUUGAAAAUACUAACAAUCAUAUUGCGUGAAAAUUAUUAAAUAGAAUACACAAAAGAAAGACGAAUCCAACAUACGACAUAUUGCAUUUCGCAGCAUCCUGCUUCUACACUAUCCUGCGCAAGAUCUAUGAUCCUAAUCACUUGAUAAACGAUGGUCCUAGAGGUAGCUAAGUCCUCAGCAAGUAGCAAUAAAUUUAUUAAGAAUGCAUGGAAAUGAUAUUUAUGAAUUCUACGCAUAAACUAAAGCAACAAAGUCUAGCUUAUAGUACAUAGUCUAUUUUACAAAUAAGGGUAAAGCAAAGCAUUAUAAGUUACGGCCAUCAACCCCGGAGUACAAAAAGAGCUGAGGAAACCCCUAGGCACGUAAGGAAAGCCAAAAGGGCACGGAGGAAGGUAGCAGGAGCAAGAAGUACGUGCAAGCUUGAAGUACAGUAUGAAGACCAAGGGAGGAGCACAGGGCUAAGAAGCCGACCCUGAUCCAGAGGAGUCAGUCGCCAUAGCAGCACGGCCCGCGCGAAGGCGAUCGACGGUCGCGCGGUAUUCGGCAAUUGUACGGCUCAGUUUUUGGUUCUCAUCUAUAUACUUAAUUCUUUUGGCAACAGAUGAAGCGUAACAAUCCCUGAGAACACUGUGUUCGCGCUUCAAUUUAUUUAACUGUGCAAGGAGGUCAUUAAACUGAACCGUAACAUUGUCGUACAUGCUUUUAUAUAUUAUGCAGUCGUCAUAAUUUAUAUCUUUUAUGUGAAGAUCGAGCUCAGACUUCAUUCGCUGGAUAGCCACACGAGCUGAAUCAUCCUUAGCUAGAAGAAAAUCAGGGGAAGCAGCACCCUAGCAGCGGGUAAUUUUGACAAUUGCCCCGUUGCGUGCGAUAGGAAGGUCUAUAUACGCAACGAACCAGCCUUCAGCACUGGCUGUGGCAACACAAUCAGGGACCCGGAAACCCAAUUUCUGGCAUAUUUCUUCAAGUAAUUUACUAAAACAGAGAUGAACAAUCGACAUCCUGACAAUUGUGGUUAAAAGGGAAAUGAGAGAAUGAAGCAAACAAUUUAGAAGUGUGAAGAGAUAAAUUGGUAAAAAUCAGCAGGCACAGGGACCUCAGAAACCAGCAGGCCGAUUUAAUUUCCUAAAAAUAUUUGUUAAGAAAUCGCUGAAUUAUCUAUAUCAUAAUUUAUAGGGAAUAGGCUGAUCCUUUUUUGUUUCUGAAAAAGCAUUGCUUAAAUAUAAAGGAAUGCGCAGGGACCUUAGUAAAUACCAUAGUGAUCUCAGGUCUUUAAAAAAUUUCGUAUGUUCAUCAUAAUUUAGAGUGUGUAGACUCAAGCAUCACUCACCAAAAAGAGCCGAGAGAACAAAAGUUCAAUAAUUGGCAAGGCGAGCCGGGCACCGAAAAGGACACAGUAGCACACAACCUAGGAGGAAAAAGCCAAAGCAGUGACAUCAGGCAUCCCAAGUUUUGUAUAAAGAAUUUAAUAAAUUUGAGCCCUCGAGCCUUACUCCGGAAGAGGGCACAACAGUAGAGAACCUAGGAGGUAAAAGGCAACAUCAGCCACCCCAAACUCCGUAUAAAAUUUUUUACAAAUUCAAAUGUCCAAACCUCAGGAACCAAGCCAGCCACCUCAGAGUACAACAAGUAUUAUAAGAGGGCCCAGCAGAGAUAGGAGGCCGAUGGAAUCUAAAGCAAGAAUAGUAAACGGAGGUAGAGUAUAGGGAACCAAAAGGCCAAAUCUUAGAAACGAAGGCAACCAACCCGCGACAUCUCUGCAUAGAUGCAUGAAUAUUUAUAGAUCCCUGCUGCAACUGGAGAGCAAGAAGGAGAUGGGGAUGCGAGGGAGUGGGGCAGGCUGCCCUGGGGGCCCAACCGUACCACAACGUGCUUAGAGAGCGAGGAGGAGGAGAGAGAAGGGCGGCGGAGUAGAUCAGAUAGUGGGAGAGCGCCCAUCACAGGCGAAGGGUCACUACGGGCCUGAGGGAACCCACACCCGGCGGCCACGCAGCAGAAGCGGGUGAAGCCCGGACAGGGGAAGGGAGGGUUGUUAGAUUGUAGGGUAGGGUGCAAUAAUUACAUACCAUAAACCUUAUGCCCAUCAGGUAGCCCAUAUCCGGCGGCGGCGGGGAGAAGGAUGACGAUGGACAUCGCAAAGAGAGGGGAGGCGGGUAUGGCACACGUGCGUAGAAGUACGAUGAUGCCCACCGCAGAGAGAGGAGUUGGGACACAGUGCACACUGGCGAAGCUAGGGCUCCUGCCACACGGUGUGCCCGCACGUACGAGGAGAGCGACAAUGCCCCGCAUCCUGCGGUACCUGCGAGGGCUCGGUUUCGCGAGAGAGGGAUCGGGAGAGAGAGAUUGGGGAGACAGGUUUCGGGAGACGCGGGUAGGACGACACGUUGCCCUUCGGAGCACCCACGCUACGCAGGCCGAGCACGGAAGGGAACGGUAGAGGGGGGGGCGUCGAGGAGGCGCCACGUAGGGCACAACAGAACUAAAAAAUUAGAGUAAUGCUUCUAUACUUUUUGUUUUUCGUUACCGUUCAAUCACUCCCACUCAACGGUACAGAUUUAAUUUUCUUAAAAUUGUGACCUGCAAUAGCAGGUCAUUUUAGGAGUGGUACCGGUCACCAGGUACCUCAAAAAAUGAUAUUUUUGUCUUUUAAUACAUGAACAAUUUAGUCAUUUUAUCUCUAUUAUAUUAUUAAAAUUUUAUUAUCUCUUUAUUUCUUUUUUCUCUCUCUAUCUUUCCUCUCAUAUUUGGUAUUUCAUAUAAGAAAAAUUUCAAAUUAUUUGACAACAAGAACAUGAGAUUAUUUUGUGAACCAACUAUGGAUUUUUUUCUAUAUCCAUCUUGAAUCCAACCUGAAUCAUAUAUAAAGUUUAAUAUUAUAUUCGAAUUUAUAUUUUAAAAUUUUAAAUUUAAUAUAAAAUAUUUUGAAAUAUGGUAAAAAGAAAUAAUUGUUUCGGGUUCCAGUCUUCCGGUUUGGAUUUGGUUUUGGGUUUCGAAAAAUUGGUUAGUUUCGGGUUUAGAUAUGGAUUUUUGAAAUCCAUCGAGUUUAGAAAUAGAUUUUGUGAUUGUUAAUCAGAUUCGAAUUCAAAUUUCUAACCUUUUUUUUUUCUGAAUAGUAAUCCUAAUCUUUUUAAUUUUUAUGUUUAAACUAAAUUCGUAAAUUUCUAAACUAAAUUUGUAAAUUAAUACCUAAUUAAUGCCUAAAUUAGGGUAAUCAAUCAAUUUCCUAAAUUAGUGCAAAUUAAUGUAUAAAUUUAGGAUAUCAAUUAAAAGUUUCUUUAAAUGAUGUAUAGUUUAAUUACCGAAAUAACCUCGAAUGAUAUAACCCAUUUACCUGCUAAAUAUUAAAAUUACACCUUUACCCUCUAUUAAUCAACGGUUAAUUAAGUUUUAUUUUGUUUUUUUAAUAAUAAAGUACCGAAUCAUUUCUCAAAAAAUUAAUAUAUCUAUAGAUUAUGAGACAACCAAAGAAAUAAUAAAAACCAAGAUUCUACUAGCUAAGUGAUUCUUAGCAAAUAAUUUUUCGAAAGAAAAACUUAAAAUUCAAGAAUUUACGCGAAAACAUUAAAAGAAGACCUAUGUACAAAUUUUUCAUUCUGUUUCUUGUUUCGUUUGUUAAGAAAAAUAUUGUUAGUAACGCAAACAAUUAAUUAAAAUCUCUUUCAUUUAUGUGUUGCAAUUUUAUUGAGUUUGAUUCAAGAAUGAUGCGGUAGACUAGGUCCACAAAACAAUUUCUGAAGAAUCUUAUUCCUGCUGAUUCUAGAAGUUAGCAUUUUGUUCUUAUUCUUAGGGCAACAACUUAGACAAGUAGAUAUGCUGGUCCAUAAAAUGCAAAGGAUUUUAGAAUGAAGAGGAGUAAGCAAUGUAUAUUCCCUGAGACAAAUGCAAAUAGAAUAUUCAAAGUUUUUAAUUUUUUUUCUUAAAAAAUGGUUUUAAAUUAAAGUGCCAACUACAUAGGUGUAGUUGCCACUAUAUAUAUAAUAUAUAUAUAUAUUUAUAUAUAUAUAUUAUAUAUAUAAUAUAUAAUAAAUAUUAGUAUAUACUAUAUAAAUAUAAUAAUAUAAACAAAGAAUUCUCACACAGUGUCAAACAAAGUAAUUGCUUCAUCCCCUUCUCAAUUAACGUAUUCUUAAUGAGUAAUACUUCAAUACACCAUGUAAAUUUUGAUCAUUUAUUUUUUUAAAUAGAUGGUUGAUAUGUAAUAUGAUUCUAAAGACGAGACCUACUAUUCAGGCAUAGUUACCGUUCACCAGGUACGUAUUUAAAGGAUAUUUUGAUCUUAGAAAAAUAUUUUGGUCUACAAAACCGGUUUUAUCCAACUAAGAAUUAAUAUUAUAACCUUCUCAAAUACCUACAACAAUAGUUGGAAUUCAAAUUACAACUAAGCUGUAAAUUUAAAUGCAAAACAACGUAAAAAACUUAAUUAUAAAUCAAAUUCAUCUUUUAAAUAUAAAACACAAAUUUAAAAUAAACUUUCAGAUCAAAUUCAAAAUUUUAAUUUAAAUGUAAAUCUAACUAUACCCUUACUAAUUAAGAAUUUGAUUUUAAUACUUAUGGUGUAUUGAAGCAUUUGCUCAUUCUUAAUUACUCUUACGUAUUCUUAAUUAGCUGGGUAUUAAACUAUAUAUGCUCUAUAUACCCACUUAGGGCUAACAUUUGUAACACAACUAUAUUCUUGUACAAUCCAAAAUUUCAUAUUUUAUAUUAUUAACUGCAUGCUAUUGUAUUUCCUGCAUUGUUUUCUAUUGGAUUUAUUUUUUGGGUAAUUAACGAUGUGCUAUAUUGGAGCUAGUUCUUAAUUUUGUGAAACAAUAUGCAAUAACCAGUAUUGUUCAUUUUCAAAAGAUUCAGCUGCUAGAGAAUGGUCUUUUUAUAUUCUUAUGUUUAAUACUUUAUCUCACGUCUGAGCUUCACAUUUUGAUGAAUUCAAAAUAUACAAAUUAAACAACUUGGGACUUCUUGUUAUGAUAACUUAAUAUAAAAUAUAAGUUUAUCUCCAAAAGAAUAUUAAACAACUAAAGAAUAAUAUUUUGAAUAUUUUUGUAUUCAACAAAUUAAAUUCUCCCUCUUUAUAUAUAAAGAGAUUCUAAAUGAAUCAAUACUUAUUAUCUGUUACUUUGAUAUGAUACAUAUUACUAUUCUAUAAUAUAUUGUAGUUAUGAACUAUAUAUACACACAAAAUUUCAAGCUUGAUUAAUAAAUAUACAUGUAAAUACUUUAUUUCCCGUCAAAUUACAAAACGGGCUUUUUGCAUCUAUUCUAAUUAGUGGGAUGUUAAUAUCUGGGAUAUCUUAAAUAUUAUAUAUGGGAUCUAUCCAAGUUGGUGCACUUUAAUUGUUGGCUAAUAAUAACUAAUCAUAAUAAUAAUAAUAUUUUUACUAUUGCAAAUAUAUCCCCUUGUUUGUGGAGGAUAUAUUAAUAGAGACCUACCACGUGACAAACCCAACUUAUGUAGAAUAUUAUUAUUAUUAUUAUUAUUAUUAUUAGGCAUGCAUUCGGUGGGUGCAUGCGGCCACCUACCAAUUAUUAAUUUUUAUUCAUAAAAAUAUUAAAAGAAAAAAAGUUUAGUUAACAGCGUAAGAUAAAAACAAAUAGAAUAUUAGUGCUAGAAUGUAAUUCAAAAAUAAAUAUAUUUUGCUAAAGAUGUGUUUUCUUGAUAUUUGCUUGGUAACUAUAUUAUAAGCAAACUUUACUAUAGGAAGGUACUGAUGCCAACUACUUUGCUAGUCUAAAAUCCACAUCCUGAGCAUGUUCUUCAAAAUCUGAAUUGUACGUUUUGACUGUACAUUACUCUGUGGGUGAAAAAUAGUGCUAAAAUUCAACUCUGUGCCUAGUGUCUUAUGAAGACUUCUGUAAAAGUGAGAUAUAAAUCUACAAUCUUGAUCUGUAAUAAUAGAUGUAGGCAUUCUAUGAGAUCGCACAAUCUCAUAAGGUACAUUUAUGUGGGCUUCUCUCUCGACCAAGUAGUGUGAAUAAGAAUAAAAUGUAUUGUUUUGGUUAAUCUAUUCACGAUUAGCCAAAUAGAAUAUACCCGGCUUGUGAGGGGGGAAAUCCUAUGAUAAAGUCCAUAGUGAUCCUUUUUCACUUCUAUACGAGAAUAUGUAAACUCUGCUACUUACCUAUGGAAAGUUGAUACUCAACUUUCAUCUAUUGGCACGUCAAAUAUUGUGCUACAAACUUUCCAAUAUCUGUCUUUAUUCUGGACUACCAAUAGGGCAAUUUUAAAUCUUUAUAUAUCUUAGUGCCACCCGGUUGCAAUGAGUAAGGUGCUCGAUGCACCUCUCUCAAGAUCUCCUCUCUGAUCUCUGUAUCCGCUGGUACACAAACUCGGUUUUGGAACCGAAUCUCAUGAUUGUCCAAAUGAAAUCCACCGGCGCGUCCCUUCUCGAUAUUAGAACGAAUCUUUUACAAACUUGUAUCUUGAGCUUGUUUCUCUUUGAUUUUAUCCAACAACAUUGGUUGCACCACCAAUGCUAUCAACUUCAUCAGUGUCUUGGGUGCCACAAUCUCUAACUCCAACUGUCUCAUCUCUUCAAGUAGUAGUGAUUGAGUAGUAAUCAACAUUGCCCAAUUCUCCACUAACCUAUAACUUAGGGCGUCCGCUACAAUAUUUGCUUUUCUGAAGUGGUAGAGAAUAGUCAAAUCAUAAUUCUAGAGUAGUUCCAAUCAUCGCCGUGGUCUCAAGCUUAAUUUCUUUUGAGUAACAUAAGAGUAGAUUGCAUUAUAAGAAACUCUCUCUCAGGAGCCCUCCAUGUUUUCCUCUCAACUAGGGUAUUUUCAAUGAAGCUCAUAAUUUAAAAGAUUAAUUACAAUAGUUUAUAUAAGCCUAAAAUUCUAAUUCUAGUAGGAAACAAUUUUCGCCUUCCAUCCAAGUCUGAUUUAUAUGUAGUCAUCAAUUCCUUUUAGGAAUACUUUUAAAGUGAUUUUGCACUAUUCCUAAUCUUUUAGAACAAGAUUAGAUCCAAUCAGAGUCAAACUCUGCGUAUCAACUCAGAACAUGACUUUACAUAAUCCAACAUUAUAGAGGAUGGAUAUUUGCACAAUCAAUAUUUUUAUUUUUUCCAAACUCAGCCUGCACAACUCUCAGCUAUGUAGGUUUUGGAACUUACGUAUCGAAAUUCCGCAAUCAGGUCAUGUUCAAGAACUAAUGAACAAGUUCCUUAGAACCCAAAUCUUUUUCUACCCAGCUUCUCUAUUCAAGUUCCAAAACCUGAAACUCAUAUUCUGAAACUUGACACAUUCAACUAAAAUCUUUUUCUUCUUCUCCUUUUCUUUUCUCCUUUUGAAACGGAGGAUAUUUCAUGCAUAAAUAAAUAUACCGAUAUUCAUCGGAGGUAUACAAAGUAUUCAAUAUACAUCUUAAAAUUAUGAUCAAUUUAUUUUUAUUUUUUAUUUUAUUAAGGAAAAAAGUAACUUGCAGUUGCAUUAACUAGUUAACUAGGGAUAAAUGGGAGAAUACAGAGAAAGAAAUUAAGGACAACUAAGCUCCAUAAAGCAUUACCUAUUUAAAUUGAAAGUGUUUCACCUAAGAGUUUUCUACAAGAAAUUAGGUUUCCACAUAAGGGUAUAUCUUUGAAUUUCAAGUUUGCAUGAAAAAAAAAGAAUAAUAAUGUUAACAAUCUAUUUAACUGAUUUGGCUCAUUAAAUCUAGUCAAAUUCAAUCAAUAAAUAAUGAUCUUAUUUGAUGAAUGCAUUUGUUUAACUUCGAAAUGAAAUGUGUUAACGGAAUCACCCUUGGAAAAGGUAAAUGUCGAUAUACAGGGAUUGCACAUACAUGCAAGUAGAUGAUUUUGUAAGGUCAUUUAUGUAAUUGUUCAUUUUACUAAUCAAGUAGAUUAUGCGGGUAUUAAAGAAGGGAGCUAUCCAGCUGUGGUGAUUAGGGGUGGCAAUCCAGUCACUGUUCACGAGCCGGCUCAUAUUUGUGGCUCGUUAAUAAAUGAACCAAACACCAGCUAAAUUUUUCAGCUCGAUAUUUUAACGAGCCGGCUCAUGUUCGGCUCGUUUCAGGUGGCAAUCUAGCUCGCUGUUUGCAGGCACCUCGUUUUCGAGAGCUGAAUUUUUUUGCUCGAUGCUUUAACGAGCCAGCUAAUAUUCGGCUCAUCUAUUAAAUGAACCGAACUCGAGUCAACCCUAGCUCGCUCAUGUUUAGCUCGUUGACGGUCCUACUGGUGAUAGCAUAGUGAUUUUGCAUGCUUAAUUGUCUCCAUUUGGGUAGCUAAUAUUAAUAAUUGCCACCGACUGUCCCUAGCGCAAGUGGCAAAGAGUUUUGGUGGUUGAUAUCUGAGGUUUCGAAUUCGAAGUCUUGUUGUUUCACAUUGUCAGCUAAGUUUAUUUCUAAAAGAAAUGAACGAAAUAAUUAGCAUACUACCUCUCUCAAUAAUAAUAAUAAUAAUAAUAACUGUCACCUAAUUAUGCCACUAUUUGAUUCAUAAACUUUUUUAAUCAAAAGAGAAAAGGGCAAAAAGGAUUCAUUAAACUGUAACUCUCCAUGUCCCAGCUAGUUAUAGUUUCUGGAAAAGAUGGGAAUGUAGGAAUUCCAACCAGGACAAAUUCCAAAAAAUUUUCAAAUGUAUUGAUGUCAAUUUUUUUAUCAUAUUCACCAAAGAUUUCUUUUUUAAAAAAAAAAAAAAAAAAAAACAACACCAACCACAUUGGUUAAGUUAUUAAAUUAACCUUCUCUUGGGCCUUUAAUGUGUUAAGUGUGACCCAUUUUGAGUAAAGCCCAAUUUAGUAAUAGGCCCAAAUUGACCCAAAUUUGGAUGGGCCUCUUUAUUUGCUCUAUAGCCAAACCGGGCCGUUACCGUCCUUAUUUACGGACCAUACAGAAAAACACAUAUGGUUACGAAAUUCUUACAAAAUUCUAAUCAUCGCAUAUAUUUUUUUUGAAGCUCUGAUUGGAUAAGCAGCAAAAAAAAUUCCAUGGAGUUUAAAUACUGUAGUUUUGAUCCAAAAGAAAUGGAGAAUCUCGUAACUCCAAAAAAAUUUCACAGGCUAUUUUAAAAGCUGUUUGGAUGCACAUUACACAAUUCUACAGGAUUUCCGACCAUUUUCAAAAAUUAGCCUUGAGGGAGUUUAAAUUUAAAUUAUUAGCUAUUAAAUGAUUUUAAAUUUAAAAAAUAAAAUUUUAAAGACAUCUAAAAUAAAGACGAGAGGGAGGAAGUCGAGCGAGUCGGGGAGGCGGCCCGAAAAAUAGCGUAAAGUUUUUCAGAGAAAAUACUCGAUUUUACUUUUACCUUAUGUUUUUGAACCAUCCAAACACUUUUUGGAAAACUUUUUUUUGCACCCAUAGCAUAGUUAUAUUAUGCUCCAAAAAAAUAAGCAUCCAGACAGCCCUAAAUGUGCAAAUUUACUUUUACAAGUAAACUACCGUUAAUUGACCGUUAAAUUUUUACCAUCAGGACCAUUAUGCCUUUAAUAAAAAGAAAAUUCAUUUUUCAAAAAAAUUGAGAAUUUAUAAUUUAUGGUUCACGUAGAAUGACAUAGAGAUUGAAAUAAAAAUAUUAGAAAAUAAUAAAUGAUGCUAAAUAUAAUUAAAAAGUUAUAUCUUUCUCAAGAGUAGAAUAGCUAUUUCGUAGAAGAAGAAAAUCAAUUUAAACCGGUCGACAAACAGGGAGGUACGUAUUUGCAAAUUAUUCAAUUUUGGAGCGAUAUAUUAGAUAACUACAAUUUCAUUGCUUUAUAGGCAUGCAUGUGCAAUCAUCUCGUGAUUUAAUAAAUGUUCAAAGUAUAUAAUAUUUUAUAUAAUUAGUCAGAUCCAAUUUCAAGAAUCAAAACCAAAGAAAAAAAGCAAAUGGAACAAUUAAUUCUUAAAAUGGUGGUUUAUCUCAAACAAAAAGAUCCAAAUAAACCACAAAAAAUAUAUAUGUUCGAUUUUUCAGAAAGAGAGAGUUUUUUAAAAUUUAAAUUGUUUCCUCCCAGACAAUUUUAUGAAUUUUUUGAAUAUAAUUGAUUUCAAUUUGUUAUCAUACUAGAAUGGCUGCGUUUGGUAAUAGAAUAAAUAUUUGAAGGAAUAAAUAUUUCAUUGUUGGGAUAACGUGCUAUUCUAGAAUAUAAAAGAAAAUUUGUAUUUAGUUUAAUAUUUUCGUAUUCCCUAAGAUAAUUAAAAUCUUGUUUGGUAAUUUUAUUAAGAAUAAUGAAGAAUAGUUAAAAAAGUAAAUUAAAAUUUUUAAAAUGCUAAGAUUGUCUUUGUCUAUAUCUCGCAUAUAUAGAAUAUUUAAUAUAUGCACAAUAAUAAGUAUAAAAAAUAAUAUAUUUCAUAAAAUAUAAAAGAAUAAAAAUAUUAUAUAUAACACUAUUAUAAUCAUAUUAUUGUAUAAUAUACUUCAAUAUUAUUACAUAACAAACUUCAAUAAAAACGAUAGCACCAAGUGUGCUAUCGAAUUUUCCGCCAUUAGAUUUAAUUAACCCUUUGACUAUUUUUAUCCGUUAGAUUAUAGUAUUAAACUAAUAACUCAUUUAACCCUAAAGAGUCCACAUCAUCCUAAUCAUAUAUUUUUUCAUCUAAGGGUCGAAAAUCUAAUAGCACCAAUAGCUUGGUGCUAUUGAUAGUAUUCCCUUAUAUAAUAUUUUAGAAUAUUAUACAUUUAAUAUAUUUAUUACCUUAUAUAAUAUUUUAUUUUAUAUUAUAUGGUAUAUUAUAGGAUAAUGUAUAAUAUAUAUUUAUUUUCUUACAGUGUUUGGUGGAAUAACGGGGAUAACUUUUAUAGUUUUCAGUUUAUUUUGAAACCAAACAAAGCUUUAUUUUGUCAUUAUGUGAUUUUAUCUUAUUUCAUUGUAAGGGACUGCGGAUAAAUAGCGUGGUGAAGUAAUACAUUUUAUAAAUUGAAUAGCAGUUAAAUGCAAAUUAUAGACUAAUAAAAUACUAUAUUUUGCCGUCAUACUGCUUGCAAAAUAUACAUCCAUGUGCUAACCAGUGUUUUGCAAAUGUCAGUAUUUUGAUACCUUUCUUAGCCGCAUGUCUUUAUAGUGAUGUGAUACAAAAGAGAAAAUGAUAAUAGUAAACUAAAAUUUUUUAAAUUAUAAGAUAAUAAAAUAAAAAUGUGCUAAAUCAUAAGUGGGACGGUUAGGGCUUAGUUUGGUAUUGAAGUCUAUCUAACGAUAGAAUGGAGUUGAGAAAAAGCAUAUAGGGUUAUGCUUCUGCGUUCUCCGAUGGGACCAAAGAAAAUUUAUCGUAACCGACUAAUUGCAAUAUGCGGAACGCAAUAUUAUGUACGGAAACAAACAGGGUAUUUUUCCAUCGUCGUUUCUCACCGCACGUAACGCAAUCUCCCCGCAAUUCCAAACGAACCCUAAGCGUGCCCUAGCUGGGACUUUGGGAGGCCAUUGUGGUUAAGUUUGUAGACCUUGACCCGACUUGUUUUGCACAAAGGUCCAUUUGGUAGUAGGUGAUCCAGGAGGAUCAAAUCAUCCGAAUAAGUCUCAAUCGUUGCGGAUAAGGCGGAGGUCGUUCCAACUUCUUCGGUUAGAAUAAGGCGGAGAUGGUUACAACUAAUUCGGUUAAGAUAUGGAUCGAGAUGAUUCCAACUAAUUCUGUUAGUAUAUGAAUCGAACUAAUUCGGUUAAGAUAUGAAUCGAGACGGUUCCAACUAAUUCGGUUAGGAUAAGAUCGAGGUGGUUUCAACUACUUCGGUUAGAACAAGAAUAAAGCUGUUAUUUUAUUCUUAUCUUUUUGUAAGCCGGAAGGCUAUAAAUAGGGGCCCUAGCUCUUGUAAAUCAUUCCAGUUUUAGAGAGAAUUAAUAUACAGGCUCUUCCACAUAAAUAUUCUUUUCUUUUCUUUCCUCUUUAAUCUGGUUUCAGAUAUCCAUCGGGGAGGCGUUGCGACAUUGCUUUUCUCCUCCGACGGAUCAAGUGGUAUCAGAGCAUCUGACCCUGGUCAGAAGCAUCUACAAAGCUACUGGCGAACAACUCUCCGUUCUCGACAUCUUUCGUAAGCCACCGACGAGGAAAAUGAAGAGCGCAUCUACCAUGUCUGCAGGCGAGUAGAUAGCGACGCCAUCUGACCUUGCCGCCAAGGUCGCCGCACUGUCCGACGGCAUGAAGACCGUUUUAGAUUGGAUCAAGACCCAAUCUGCAGCACCAUCGGCAAUACCGGUGGAGAAGAGUGGUCGGCUCGCAGGAACUCCUCCUCCAAAGGCGCGUGUGACGCCGAUGAAGGGCACUGCCGAGGAUACCUCGGGUGUGCGAGACGACGACGACUCCGACGAUGACGGAAGCAUAGCUCCGUCGGUUGCAGAAGGAAGGUCGAAACCGUUUAAGGUUGAGGCCAAGAUCGAGAUCCCCAAUUACGACGGUGUUGUCGACAUUGAAAAGCUGGAUGCCUGGCUUGACCAACUAGAGACGUACUUCGACCUCUACAACUAUAGCAACGCAGAAAAGGUAACUUUCGCAAAACUAAAACUUGUAGAUCAUGCUUUGACUUGGUGGAAGGCUACUAUCCAAACUACCGCCAACGAGGAGUUCACCUGGAGUCAGUUUAAACGACUGAUUCGUCGGGAGUUCUACCCUAUGGGAUAUGAAGAAGAGCGAUGGAAGCGCUGGCAUGUCCUGCGCCAAAGACGUGACCAGACAGUGCAGGACUACACCGACUUCCAACGCCAAGCCUUGGCGCUUGGCAUCUCCCUCGAUGAUCCACAGGUUUUUUGUAAAUAUACCGCGGGCCUACAGGAACGCAUCAGUGAUGAGUUUCGUCUCUUCGGUGUUUGUGAUAUUGCCUCGGCCAGCCAAACAGCUAUGGCGAUUGAGCGGAAGAACAAACUAUCUCUCGGGGAGAAGCCAUCUAGAGAGUCUGCUGAGGGCUCGAAAAAGUUCAAAAAGAAGGGCUCUAAAAAGAAGGGGUUCUCUGAGCCUGAUUUGUACUGUGAUAAUUGUAAAGUCACAGGACAUGUCAAUGAUCGAUGCUGGAAGCUCCAUCCAGAACUGAGACCAAAGAAGAAGGAUGAUUGUGGAAAACGCACAACGGCAACGGCAGCAUAGACAAGUGAUGCUCCUACCUUAAUCGGACGGAUUGAUUAAGCAGACACUAGUUUGUCUCUGAUAGCUAUGCCGAAGGAGACAAGCCUGCGCCCGUCAAAUCCGACUGAUAAGAGAGAAGAGUUGUUUACUUUUCGAGUUCAAGUCAAGAAUGAAGUGAUCGAUGCCAUCAUUGAUCCCGGCAGCCAAAAGAACUUGAUCUCGUAGAACCUAGUUCGAAGACUGGGUUUGUUGACCACACCCAUAUCCAUUAGGGUGGAUUAACAGCAACAUCAAGAUGAAGAUCGAUCGCCAGUGCAAGGUGAAGUUUGCGGUGACCGGCGUCUACAUCGAUGAAAUGCUGUGCGAGGUUGUGCCGUUGAAUAUUUGCAACCUCAUUUUCGACAGUCCCUACCAAUGGGACCGUGACGCUACCUUCUUCUGUCAUCCUCAGCAAUAUCAAUUUAUUAAGGAUGGACAGAAAUUUUUAUUCACCACAGAGCCAUUAUCAACAACUGUAGACCUGAUAACCGCUUGCCAGGCCAAGAGGAUGAUCAAUGCAUGUCAGAAGUUUGCCUUACUGGUCAUUCGACUAAUUAUAUCUGAAAAGGUAAACGACAAGGUAUUGAGUCUAGCAUGUAAGGAAAGAACUAAUAAUAUAGCUAAAUUGAUUGGCGAGUAUCAGGAUCUGUUUCAAGAAGUCCAAGGACUGCCACCAAAGCGAGCCGUGGAACAUGAGAUCCAAUUGAUCAGCGACUCUCCGUUACCGAAUCUCGACAUGUUUCGAAACUCGGUGGUGGAGAAUGAGGAGAUAAAGCGAUAGGUGACUGAGUUACUCGAGAGUGGUGCUAUCAAACCGAGAAGCCCUCCCUGUGGCUCCCCGAUCGUGUUGGUGCCAAAGAAAGACGGCGGGUGGCAAAUGUGUAUCGACUACCGCACCCUUAACAAAAUCGCCAUCAAGAAUUGGUUCCCCUUAUGGCGGAUCGAUGAUCUCUUGGACCAACUGAAGCAUGCUCGCUACUUCACCAAACUGGACCUGAAGUUCGGCUAUCAUCAGGUUUGGAUCCGAGAGGAUGACACCUGGAAGGCUGCGUUCAAGACUCGACAAAGCUUGUUUGAAUGGCUCGUCAUGCCAUUCGGCCUUUGCAAUGCACCAGCCAACUUUAUGCGACUGAUGAACAAUGUUUUAUGCCCCUUCCUCGAUGACUUCGUGAUCGUCUACCUCGACGACAUUCUCAUCUACAGUUGAUCGUGGGAGGAGCAUCUGGAGCAUGUCAAGAAGGUCUUCAAGCUGCUUGAGUGUUUGAGAUAAAAAAGAAAUUUGAAUUCGAAUUCAAAUUGGGAUGUAGAAGGAAAAAAUAAUAUGUGAUUUGAUUGCUACUUUCCUUAGAGGACUAGGUACCAACAAGGAAAGGGACAAGGGAAAUAUCGUUGCCUUAUUUUCAAAAUAUUUUGAAUUGUUUCCAAAAUCGAAGUGGUCCUAAAACCCCUAUAAAUGGGACAAUAGAAUUCAAAAAUAAAUCUCUUAGAGAGGGAGGGGGAGAUAAAAAAAAGAAAGAAAGAAAGAAAGAAAAAAGCAAAAAAAAAAAAAGAAAGGAAGAAGAAGAAGAAAAAAAGGGUGAGAAACAAAAAAAAGAGUUUUUAUACUCUCCUCUCUCUCUCUCUCUCUCUCUCUCUCUCUCUCUCUCUCUCUCGGCUGGCAGAGGAGGGGUGCCACGUGCACCCCACCACCUUUGUUCGUACACAGCAAAAAAAAAAGAAGAAGAAGAAAAAAAAAGGGAUAUCGGCUCUCGCAUUCGACGACGACUUUUACGACAAUAAGAGAAUGCAUGCAUACGAAUAGCGUAAGCGCGGCUUUUUGUUGGUUUGAUCAACCCGACCAUCUUCGUGAUAGGUUUCGAACCAAUCAAAUCUGACAGCAAGUCGCCGCUUUCGCCGUGCGUAUACAUCGCUAAUCCCUAACCGUGCGGCCAUCUUCGUGAUAGGCUCGACAUUGUCAAAAUGAUUGAUCGAACUGGGUGUUUUAUUACGUAAACCAUGCGGCCAUCUUCGUGAUAGGCUCGACAUGGUCAAAAUGGGUGAUCGAGCACCAUUUAUUUUGUUACGAAAACCGUGCGGCCAUCUUCGUGAUAGGCUCGACAUGGUCGAAAGCGUAAAUCGUGCGGCCAUCUUCGUGAUAGGCUCGACAUGGUCGAAGGGAUUGAUCGAGCGGCCAUCUUCGUGAUAGGCUCGACACGAUUAAACUCCGCGUGCUUGAACAAAACGCGACAAAAAAAAUAACAUGAAGAUUGAUGAUAAAUAAUGGACGGGUUUUGAUUCGUCAUAAAUUUCGAGACGAGAUUUCGUAUAUUUGGACAAAUAAACAAAAAUAAAAAAAUAAUAAUAAACAAACAAAAGAAAACAACAACAAAAAAAAAAAGAGAAAAAAAAAAGAAAAGGAGGGUACCCCUCCCCCUCUCUCUCGGUUUGCAUACACACAGGGAGAAAGAGAGAGGGAGUUGGGUUUUCUCUCUCUCUCUCUCUCUCUCUCUCUCUCUCUCUCUCUCUGCCGCAAAACAAAAAAAAAAAAAAGGAUGAAUGAAGAAUCAAAAGAAAAAAGAAAAAAAAAGAGGUUUAUUAUUUCUCUGACAGUCAACAAAAAAAAAAAAAAAAAAAAGAGCAAGAAAAAGAGAAUGAAUGAAAGAAUCAAAAAAAAAAAGAAAAAAAAAGAAAAGAAAAGAAGAACAAAAAAAAAAAAGAGAAUUUAAAGAAUUGGAUUUGUUUUAUUUCAAUCCAUUAUGGGUCCAAUCUCAUGAGCAGUCAAAAAAAAUAAUAAUAAUGCAGAGCCCAUAUGCAAAUUCGGGUCCAAGGCCCAAAACAUGUAGAGCCCGAAAUUCAGUCUACAUACAAAUUCGGACACAGGAUAUUAAAGCCCGAAAUCCAUCUCAGCCCGCAUGUAGAUUUGGGCCCAGAACAUAUAAAAUCCAAGAUCUAUUUCAGUCCACCUGCAAAUUGGAUCCAAGGUCCAGACCCUGUAAAGCCCGAAACCAAUCUCAACCCACAUGCAGAUUUGGGUCCAAGAGAAAUGAAAAUUCAUAUGAAUGGAUUUCUUAAUCCAAAAUCCAAAGAUCCAAAAUUCAAAAGUUCACAAAUAAAAUCACAAAAAUCCCAAAAUCCACAAAUAAAACCCCAGAAAUCCCAAAGCCCACAAAUAAAAAUCCCCAAAAUCCCAAAGUCCAUAAAUAAAAUUCCAAAAAUUUCAAAAUCCACAAAUAAAUCCCAAAAUCCAAAAUUCACAAACAAAAAAAAUCCAAAAAUCCAAAAGCCCACAAACGAAAUCCCAAAAAAUCCAAAGUUCACAAAUAAAGAUCCAAAACCCAAAGAUCCAAAAUCCAAAGUCUAUAAAUAAAACCCAAUCAAAUCUACCAAACCUAUGUCAUCCAAAUACUCCCAACCCAAACCGAAUUCGUGGGCUUUCCAAAUGGGCCCUUUAUUAUGAAUUAAUUCUAUGAAUUAAUUUUCUGGGCUUUCCAAAGGCCCUUCUAUCAUGCAUUAAUUCGAUAAAUUAAUUUCAUGGGUUUGCCAAAUAGGCCCUUUAUCACGGAUUAAUUCUAUGAAUUAAUUUUAUGGGCCCUCCUUGUCAUAGAUUAAUUUCAUGAAUUAAUGGGCCCUCCAAAUGGCUCCUUAUCAUGAAUUAAUUCAAUGGGCUCUCCAAAUGGCCCCUAUCAUGAAUUAAUUUCAUCAAUUAAUUCAAUGGACUUUACAAACGGGCUUCUAGCAUGAAUUAAUUUCAUGAAUCAGCUUCAUGAACAUCUCGAUUUCAAACGACCGAAAAGUCGUUAAACUAAACCCAAAUUUCAAAUGACCGAAACGUCGCUAAACUAAACCCAAAUUUCAAACGACCGAAAAGUCGUUAAACUAAACCCAAAUUUCAAACGACCGAAAAGUCGUUAAACUAAACCCAAAUCUCAAACGACCGAAAAGUCGUUAAACUAAACCCAAAUUUCAAACGACCGAAAAGUCGUUAAACUAAACCCAAAUCCCAACGACCGAAAAGUCGUUAAACUAAACCCAAAUUUCUUGAACCAUGAACCAAGUCCGUACACCAAAUUCAUGAACCAUAUCCAAGUUCAUGAACCAAGUCCAUACACCAAAUCUAUGAACCAUAUCCAAGUUCAUGAACCAAGUCCAUACACCAAAUUCAUGAACCAUAUCCAAAUUCAUGAACCAAAUCUCAUGAGCCAAUACUAAAAUCUCAUGAACCAAUACCCAAAUCUCAUCGUGAACCUUUUUUUUACUCUGGCACAUAUACCUAGAGUAAAAAUUAAAUAUCGACUACCCCUAAUACAUAUACUUAGGGCUAUGUCAAUCGCCUUAGCACAUAUAACUAAGGCAAAACAUCUCCAAAUCGACAGAGUUCUAAGUCAUAUACUUAGAAUUCAGUCAAAUGAUAUCAAGUUUAUUCGAACUCUAACAUAUAUACUUAGAGUUCAUCCGACUAACCCUAACACAUAUACUUAGGGUCUAGUCAGCCUUUUGCUCUAGCACAUAUACCUAGAGUGGAAGUCAAACCAUGGUCGACUAACCCUAACCCAUAUACUUAGGGUCUAGUCAGUCUUUUGCUCUAGCACAUAUACCUAGAGUGGAAGUCAAACCAUACUCGACUAACCCUAACACAUAUACUUAGGGUCUAGUCAGUCUUUUGCUCUAGCACAUAUACCUAGAGUGGAAGUCAAACCAUGCUCGACUAGUCCUAACCCAUAUACUUAGGGUCUAGUCAGCCUUUCACUCUAGCACAUAUACCUAGGUGAAAUCCUUACCCGAUCGAGCUCUAAUACAUAUACUUAGAGUUCAAAUCCGACUACCCCUAAUACAUAUACUUAGGGCUUAGUCAGAUCUUCAUUCUAGCACAUAUAACUAGAGUGAAACUCGGUUAAUCCUGAUACAUAUACUCAGGAAUUAGCCACUCCCUACUUUCGGGUAAUUCGACCCACCUCAAUACAUAUACUUGAGGUCUGGUCACAUUUUCAUCUUGGAACAUAUAACCAAGGUGGACAUAAUCGGACUCUAAGACAUAUACUUAGAGCCAAUUAGAUUCUAAUACAUAGAGUCUAAGAUCGACUAGGUCAUAACACAUAUAUUUAGGAUCUGGUCAAUCUCAAAUCCAACUGAACCCUAAUACAUAUACUUAGGAUUCAAUAAAUCAAAACUUCUUCGCUAGAUUGGAUAUUUAGUCUGAUAAAAUUCAUGUACAGUGGGGGAAUGCCCCUGCUUAAGCCAUGUAAACGGCAAAUCAUAUCAAUAAAAUUUUAUUUGCCUGUUUUGUCUCUUUUAUUAUCAGCAUUUAUAUUUGGUCUCUUAAUCGAGGGUUCCUUAACACCGAAAGUGUGGGAUAAUUAACAACAGAUUCUUGAGUCUGUUGGAAGCCAUGAACCUAUAAUCCUGAUUUCAAAAUAAAAUAUAAAUAAAUUUUAUCUCUACCAUGAAUGACCACUCGCCUUAGAAACAACCUACGGCGGGACCGGUUCGUUCGCAGCAGACAUUGAGGAACACCA